RNAcentral lists this long non-coding RNA (80604 nucleotides) under Gossypium raimondii (Peruvian cotton). RNAcentral describes it as "long non-coding RNA (GRAI_LNC005928)". Lineage: Eukaryota; Viridiplantae; Streptophyta; Magnoliopsida; Malvales; Malvaceae. The record is from RNAcentral.
GACAUUCUAUCUGGUUUCAAAAUUUUAGAUGACAGGAAGAUAACAGAUGAAGCAUUAGCAGAGAAGUUGUGUAAAACUUUGGAGGAUAAAAAGUGUCUGGUGAUACUUGAUGAUGUUUGGACCAGUGAAGCUUGGGAUAGUCUAAAACCUGCCUUUCCAGUUGCAACGGGCCGUGAUAGCACUAGCAAGAUAUUGCUCACCUCUAGAAACAAGGGGAUAGUUUCAGAUGCUGACAUAAGAGGUAAAAUUUUCUUAAUUAGGUAAAGUUGAAUACUCUUAUUCCUUUUAUGGAAAAUAAGAGGUAAAAUUUUCUUAAUUAGGUAAAGUUGAAUACUCUUAUUCCUUUUAUGGAAAAUAACUAUGUAUAUUAUUUCAGAGUUGAAGUGCCUAAACGAUCAACAAAGUUGGGAAUUGUUUCAAAAGAUUGUAUUUCCUCAAACAGGUAAAUAUACAUAUAGCAAAAUUCUUGUUAUAUGCUAAAUUUAUUUUUCAUUUUUAAACUUUUUUGACAAUAAUUAAAAUUAAAAAUAUAUAAAAUCUAUUUUAUUUAAAAAUUUCAAAACCUUAAUAUGAAAUAAAUAAAAGAAAUCAAGGUUUUGGGGUUUAUCAAUUAAUGGUACACGCAUGCAAAUAUAAUUAAUAGGUAAAUUCAUUAUCUUUUAUAUUAUAAUUUUUUAAUAACUUGCUAUCACUUACCGGGAAUAAAUUAUAUUAGGAUCAUCUUAAAAAAUAUAAUUUUUAGGCACCAACAAAAUAAUGUCACAUGUUAAAUUUUUAAGAUAACAAAGAAUUAUUGUACACUCAUUUGUAUUUAAUAUUUUCUCCAACUUAAUUUAACUUUAAUUAAAUUAUUUAAAAUAAUUAAUUUUUUAAAUUAUAAACAAACAUCUUUUCUUCUUUUACAAGUUUUAAUCAUUUUGUUUUUUUCAUAAGUUAAAAAUUUUUAUUUUUGUGCAACCAAUUUUUAAAAAAUAGUAAUUUUUGUGUAAUAUUUUUCAUGUCAUUGAACAUAAAUUUGAUAAUUAUUUUAUCCUGAACCCAAAACCCCGAACCUUGAACUCGNNNNNNNNNNNNNNNNNNNNNNNNNNNNNNNNNNNNNNNNNNNNNNNNNNNNNNNNNNNNNNNNNNNNNNNNNNNNNNNNNNNNNNNNNNNNNNNNNNNNAACCCCGAAUCUCAUAGUUUAAGGUUUGGAUUUGAGAUUUAAAGUUCAGAAUUCGAGGUUCAAGUUUAAAGUUCAAAGGUUCAGGGUUAUGGGUUACGAGUUUAGGUUAUGGUUCAAGGGUUUGGGGUUGCAAGCUUGAAAUUUUAUGUUUUGGAUCUAGGGUUUAGGAUUAUAGAUUCAAGGUAAAAAAAUUACCAAAAUUAUGUGUCAAUGACAUGGAAAAAAUUGUUGAAAUGUUGUUAAAUAAUUGGAAAGGGACCAUGAAUAAUGUGAUCAGAAGAGUCCAUAAAAUAAUUUCUCUAUGGAUGAGUGUAUAAUAAUUCAUGUCUUUAAAAUUUGAAAAUGUGACAAAAAAAUUUUUAAUUUUUAGGAUCAUUCUAAUGUAAAUUAUUACCUUAUCUUAAUUAUUGGACUAUAUGUUUGUUUAGUUUCUUAAGCACUUUCAUGGUAUUCUUUUAUAUGUUUAUCCUGGAUCCUUGCAUCAGAAAGAUGGAGGCGCAGGUAAACCAUUGUUAUCAAGAGUAAAGCCCAAGAAAGAUGUAGUUGAUUUGAACAACCAGCACAUCUCUUUACGACCCUAUUUAGCAAACCAAUCCGCUAACCUAUUGGCUUCUCGUCUGAUAACAUUGACUUUCAAAGAAGAAAGUUGCAUGACCAGCUUAUCAAAAACCUGAAGGACUAGCCUUAAUCUCCAUCUUCGAUCUUGACUUUUCUUCUUAAUAUUAGAAGCAAUAGUCUGGGAGUCAGUCUUGAUUGUCACAUUGGUCCAUUUUUUCUUCAUAGCUAAUUCAAUCCAUCCAACCAUAGCUUUAGCCUCGACAACCUCACAUGAAUCCACUUAAUCCUUUUACCAAUCCCAUCCAGAAUCUUCCCACUUAAAUUUCUGCCUAUUUCUCUAAUACCAACACAAGCUAUUAAGGUGUCGAAUGCCCCAUCACAAUUAACUUUAACCCAACCUUGUGGUGGUUUCUCCCAAAUAUCAGCACAAGUAUUUGACUUCCUAGUUCGAUCAGAGUUAUUGUUUGAACAGAGGAUCCAUUGAGCAGAUAAGAAUUCAUUCAUGGAGCAAUUAAUCCUUCGAAUAAUUCUCUCCAAACCAAGUUUCACACCUCCAAUUGUAACCUCACACCUAGCUUUGUAACAACUUUGAGAACCAUCUGUCAAAUGAUUGAGUUUGAUCAUUUAGCCCUUGAAGACCAAAACAAGCCUCAUACUAUAUUCCCCUAACCCAAUUACAACUAAGAAAAAUAUGUUCAAAGUCUCAUCUUCAAUACCACAUAAACAACAAAUUGGGUUCGAAACAUACUUUCUUUUCCACGGAUUAAAACGAGAUGGAAUAGCAUUAUGACACAAUUUCCAUAAGAAAACUUUAAAUUUGUUCGGUACCUGUAAGCUCCAAAUAGCUUUCCAAGUGCUCCUAUCAAUUAAGUGAGAGCUGGAAGGUUGUAAAGAAGACUCAUUUCCAUAGUGCUUUCUCAACUUCUUGUACCCUGACUUCAUCGAAUAUUGAUCAACAGCUGUAAAUGGCCACACCAAUUUAUCUUGCUCAUCUGUUUCACGAAGAGGAACUUUUAAUUUCCCAAUUUCAAUAUCUUCUAACCACAUUGAAAUACUGGGUAAGUCCCAAUUUAGUUCUUCUAAACAAAUGAUCUCAGCAACUCUUGUUGGUAAGGAUCCGUCAAUACUUCUAGGAUGCUUUUGUUUCCUAUCUUUUAACUCCCAGCAACCAUCUAUCUUCCCAAAUGUGGAUGCUUUCGCCAUUUAGCACUUGCCAAAUCAAAGUCUCCUUUUAAAAACGCUUUCCCUUCAAGAAUGCUACUCCACACCCAUGAUGACCUAGCUUCCUUUUUAGCUUCAAGUAAACUAGAAUUCGGGGAAAAAAGUCCUUUUAAAAUCCUAGCCCAAAGAGCAUCAGGAUCCUGGACUAACUGUCAAGAUUGUUUUGCAAGUAGAGGAAGUCCUCCAAGCUUUUCAAUGGAUACGUCUCUCAUUUUCCUUCUGCUGAAUUCAUUUCCACGCAUAAGUUUUUAGGAAAUUCGAAAAGAUAUCGUAUACAUUGAAGCGCAUGCUACUGCUUUAAUAAGAACCUCCCUUCCCCUUCAAGAUAACGUUUGCUGCUUUCAGCCCUUAAGUUUGGUAAGGACCUUUAUAUAUAUAUAUAUAUGGUUAAAGUAAGGACCUUAUCUUUGAUAUGCCUCAAAGUUAAUGUUUUCGAAAGCCCCCACAAAGAAGGGACACCCAAGUAGGCGUCCGAAUUAUUUGCCACCUCUAAGUUAGUCUCUUCUUGAAUCAACCUUUCGUUGUCCCUUUGGGAGUAUUCACACUAAAAACGUUGCUUGAUUUAUCAUAGUUGACCCUUCGUCCAGAAGCUGCACAAUAUUCUUGAAUCAAGUUAAUCAUUCUCCUACAAUUUAACGAACUAGCGUCCAAAAAGAAUAGAAAUCGUUCGUGAAUAACAAAUGUGACACUACUGGAUAAUGACUACUAAGGCUAAUCCCAGAAAUAAAACUAGACUCGACUCUAUUAAUAAUCACUACCCCUAGAACUCCUUUCAAUAUUCACCAUGAUCUUCGAUAUGAUUUAAUACUUAAAAUUACAAGGACUAAUUGACCUAAAUUAUGUCAUUAAUUCAAGACAUUUAGUUUUCAGAAUUAAAAUUAUCUCAAUCUCGUUCGAAAAUUUCCCUUCCCUUAAUAGCUUCCAAAACAUUCUUUUUAAUAAUUUCCCAAUAAUUAUGAUAGAAAAUCCCGUUAAAAUCAUCCACAAAAAAAGAGAUUAAUUUAAUUGUUUUGUAUGCUUAACUUGUACAAUAUAAGUAAAAUCUUAUAAUUUUAUCUCCAAAUUCUCUCAACACAUCUUUCUGACCCUUAUUUAUAAUCUCAUUUGUAUCAACAGGAUAUCCAAUUUAAAAUUACAUAAUCUUUUUUAUAUAAUUCUUUAAAUAUUAAAAGUAUUUUCCUCUAUUAUUUUUUUUGUUGGAGUAUUAAAUAUUAGCCUUAAAACCAUAAGGCAUGAAUUCCAAACAACCCUUAAAAAGAUAUGUAAAUUUUGUUUUUGAAUAUCAUUUUUUCUUUUUUAGAUUUCAAAUUGGAUAGUGAAUUAUCUAUUUAUUUAUUCGAAACUCCUCUUAAAUUAAUGAGAUUGAAGUUUCUUAUUUAGUAUUGAUUGUUCCAUAAAGUAUUCAAAGUUUUCAAAUAGAUUUAUUUUUUCAAGUGUAGUUAAUAACGGCAAUAAAAAUUAAACUUUAUAAGUGAUAAAUUUAUAUUAAAAAUUGUUUGAUAAAUUCAUAAAAUAUAAGUUUGGGUUCAUCUACUUUUACAUUUCUUUUACCUAUUUAAAUUAUUUCUUAAUUUUCAUUUUUUUAAAAAAAUUAUUCUUAAUUUUUUAUACAGGAAAUAUAAUCGACGUGGAAAUGAAAAAGUUAGGAGAGAACAUGGUUAAAGAUUGUGCAGGGCUUCCAUUAGCCAUUGUUGUAUUGGGAGGAAUUUUGGCUACAAAGAAUAAUUCAUUAAACGAAUGGCAAAAGAUAUCUGACAAUUUAAAAUCAUACUUGAAGAGAGGCAAAAAUCAAGGACCAGAGGAUGUGUUAGCAUUAAGUUAUGAUGAUUUGCCUCCCUAUCUAAGACCAUGUUUCCUCUAUCUAAGCCUUUUUCCGGAGGAUUAUAUGAUAGAUGUGGAUAGAUUGAUUCAAUUAUGGGUUGCUGAAGGUAUUGUGUCAUCAAAGCAAGAAGAAAGAGACGGUGGGGAAAUUGCGGAAGAUGUGGCGGAAUCUUAUUUAAUGGAGCUUGUGGAAAGGUGCAUGAUUCAAGUACGAGAAAGAGAUGUGGCAACCUUAAAGGUCAAAACAAUUCAGAUGCAUGAUCUGAUGAGAGAUCUUUGCUUAUCAAAGGCAAAACAAGAAAAUUUUGUCUUCAUUGUCGAUCAAUCAAAUGCAUCUUCAUUAUCUAUGAUUCGGAAGGUCCGUAGGGUUUCUGUGCAUGAGUUUUUUUUUCAUACAAUGCAUUAAAAGUCCAAAUAUUCGGUCACUUUUGUUCUUCAAUGAGUUCUUUCCGGAGGAGGAAUUAGACAAAUCUUUUCCCUUGGAAGUGUUGAAUUCACUGUAUUUGAUUCUUAUGAUUUCGCGAGCUGGUAUGGGACUCCUUAAAAUUCGGGGAAUUUAGAGAUACAUGUUCAACAACUUCCAAUUGCUAAGAGCCCUAAACUAUGAGAGAACAACAGGUGAUCGUUUUGCAGGGUUUAAGUUACCUAGUGAUAUAGGUAAUCUCAUCCAUUUAAGAUUCUUGAGUCUAAAGGAUCUUGAGUUCUUAUGGCCAAAGUUGCCAUCAUCUCUAGGAAACUUAAGGUGCUUGCAAACCUUGGAUUUAAGAGUUGAUCGUGACAAAAUUCAUGUACCUAAUGUGAUAUGGAGGAUGGAGCAACUAAGACAUUUAUAUCUCCCUUCGAGAUGUGAAAGCAGUACUAAGUUGAAGUUGGGUACUUUGAGAAAACUCCUAACACUUGUGAACUUCAACACCAAGAAUUGUUAUCUGAAGGAUCUUAUCAACAUGACAAAUCUUAGAGAGUUGGGGAUAAAUUUGCCCUUCAAUAUUGAAAAUUUCAAUGAGGAGUUGGGCGAGAAUCCACCCAUAAUCGGAAGUAAAUAUCUUCAUUCCUUGUCUAUUAUUACCUCUGGGUACGAAUCAAUAGAUCCAAGACAUUUGGCCCAUCUCCUUUCAAAUUGUACAAGUAUUUGCAAGUUGAGUAUAGCAGCAGAGAUAAGUAAGUUACCAGAGUAUCACUACUUCUCUUCACAUCUCACUUACNNNNNNNNNNNNNNNNNNNNNNNNNNNNNNNNNNNNNNNNNNNNNNNNNNNNNNNNNNNNNNNNNNNNNNNNNNNNNNNNNNNNNNNNNNNNNNNNNNNNNNNNNNNNNNNNNNNNNNNNNNNNNNNNNNNNNNNNNNNNNNNNNNNNNNNNNNNNNNNNNNNNNNNNNNNNNNNNNNNNNNNNNNNNNNNNNNNNNNNNNNNNCUCUUCAGCGAUUGGAUAUCAGGCAUUGCCCAAGCUUGAAGAUGCUUCCAGAGGGAUUGAGCUCCAUUACAACCCUCAAAGAACUGAAGAUUGAAUCAAUGCCAAAGGCAUUCAAAGAAAGAUUGGAGAAAGGAGGAGAAGAUUUCUACAAAGUCGAACAUGUUCCUUCUAUCAUAUUCCAAAACAUCUGGUAGAUUGACUGAUAAUUGAGAGGUAAUUUCAUAACCUCUAGUUUAGGAAAUGAUUCCUACUUUCUUUGCUUCUUAUAUAUCUUUCGUUUUUGACAUUGUCUCACAUUCUCACUCCAUUUGUCAACACACCAAUGAAUAAUUACAUUUAUUAAAAGUUAAAGGAAGUCGGACAUUGAUCUUUUUAGUUUUGCUUUUCAGGUAAAGACGCCAUUUUUUCACCAGCUACUGCUAUUCACGGGAUCAAAUCUAGAUUUAAAACUCCUAUUAUAAGUGGCGUGUGAAAGUGUGUUAUAUUGUGAGAUUUGGAAUUAUCUUCUCGCUUGUUGACAUCAGACUGGUUGAAUGUUUGUUAUUUUCUUCAAAUUACAAUAAAAAGGUUGCAAGAUAAGGUACGGGAAGAAAGGGAGGUGUCUGGAUUAGCAAGGUACCAAACCCACAUAGCUUUGGUUUACGAUCACCAUUCCUAUCUUUAUUUGUUAGCUUUGCUUUCUCUUUUUAUUUUUUUCUUUUUUUAUCUGUACUUAAUGUAAUAUUAGAAGAGAAGGCAGGACCAUGCUUUUCUAGUUCCAUUGUAAAAUUCAUCACUUCGUUGUCAAUGUUCAUUUCUACUCUUCAGUUUUACUUAAAUAUAAUUGUUUGAUAUAUAUAUAUAUUUAUAUAUAUAUAUAUAUUUGAAUAUGGAUACACGAUAAGAGAAUAUAAUAUUUUUAAUAUUUUCUGUCAUCCUUAACUCAAUAAUCUUUGUUAAGAUAUUAUACCAGGUUCAAUGGUUGCACUUCAUCCCACACUUUCAAAGCAAAAAAUAGGAAAAAUUAAAUAUUACCAACUAAUAACACUUCCAAAUUACAUUGUCUUACAAAAAAAAAAAAGAUACAAUUUGAAUUUUUUUAUCAACAUUUGAUGGUUUAGCAAGCUAUGCUUUAUAAAAGGCAAAGGAAUCUAAGGGAAAAAAAGAUUCCAAUUCAAGAUUUUGUAUCCCCAUGCUUUGCUUCUUAUAUCUACCAACAAUAUCUUGAUGAUAAUAAACUAAAAAAAAAAAAAAAUUCAAGGGAAUCAAAGAUUUCAAAUCCAACUUAAUCGAUUGAAAAUUUCACAUCCACUUAAUUAUUUCAAAUGAUAUUUAUUCAAUAAGUUUAAAUCAAAAACCACAAGAAUCCCCAUUUAUCUUUUAUUCAAAAUGUAAAUCGGAUUCAAUGAAAAUAUUGAACAUAUAAUGUGUGCACAUGGAAAUGUCCAAAUCUUUAAAUAUAGGGUCGACAUGGGAGAAAUCUCCUAAAGAUUUAUAAAAUUCAAUAUGAUCCUAUUAUUUUCGUUAUAAAACUCAAUAUCUUAUUCGGAUUAGGAUACGAGCGAAUAACAGAUAACUAUUUGUAGUUCAAGGUGUGAUAAAAUCUCAGUAGCUAAGAUAUGAAUGUUGCAAAAUACCAUACAAAAUCACAGCCACAUUUGUUAGUAUGACUAUUUUGGGUAAUCAAAGGAAAAAAAUGUUAGCUGUUGAGCAAACAAGGUGAACAGAUUAGAUAUUCCAAUUACGUUCAAGCACUUGACAAAUCCUUUCUGCAAUGGCUUCAGCACGCAUCCUAGGACCUUCAUCAGCUGCAAAAACCGACCAUUUCUAACAACUAAGCUAACAUCACACAUGAUAAUAUAUGUAUAUAACUUAUAUAGAAGAUGAUUAUGUGGAUUAAAAGCUAUGCUAGUUUGACUCAAUACAUGACCAUGGGACAUGCUCGAUUCAUCAAUAACGAUAUGAAAAUACUUGGAAGAAAAAUUAAAUACAUCAAUAUCUAACAUUUACAUCUGAGUUCGAGUAAAGAAAACAUGUCAUUCAAUCUAAACAUGCAAAAUAUCCAAAACUCUUGAUGAGUGUUAGAUAAAAAUAUGUAGAAUGUACCCAAAAUACCCAUCUCGAACUCAGUAGAGAAAUAUCUAGCACUCAAAAGACACUACCUUCAACCAAGAACAAGCAAGUUUCUUCAAAGGCUUGAUAUACUUUCUUCACAGCCAUAUAUAUGUUCAUAUACCCAUAUUAAGGAUGAUUGUUUUGGCAAAGAGGAUGAAAAGAUAGAAAGAAAACCUUUAAUCCAAUGACAAUAUUUGAUUAUAACAACAUGACACAUAUAAUUGUGAUUAAAAUUGCGGUCACAAAUACGUUUGCAAUCACAUCAUGUUAAUGAAUACUAUUGCAAUCAAUUGCAAUAAAUAUCCACAACAACACGAGCCACAAUCCUAAAACAACAAAGAUAAUACAUUACAGCUGUUAAGGAAUUUUCAAUAACGUAUAUACCUGCAAGAUUUUCAGUGAUGACACAAUAAAAUUCACCACCAGACAACUUCCCAAUCUAAUGAAAUUUUCAAACAUAUCAUGUCAUAAGUUUCAAGAUCAACUGAAACAUGCGGAUACCAAGUAUGAUAAGAAAUUAAAUUAAGGAUUUUCUACUGCAAACCUACCACGAAAACAUAAUUUUUAUUAGGAUCAAAGGCAUAGCCCAUCAUGGCAGCAUUAUUGAGUCCAUUUUCAGAGGAAAAUCCUGAAACAUGUUACAGGCAAAUAUUAAGAAAAACAACGCACAAGCAUAAGUAUAAAAAACCUAGCAUGUAAGAAAUCAAUACUUGAAAGGACUAAAAUCACUGCUAACCUAAGACAUUGAAUCUAGCACCACUAGGAAACAUCCGAAAUGAUACUUGUCUUUCAAUGUUGAGAUACAUAGGUCCAAGUCUGCCAUGUUGCGCCAAACGGGAAUUCAUCAACCUCUUGAGAACCUAAAGGAUGAAAAGUUCCAGUCCAAGUUAUAUAUAUACAGACACACACACAGAUAGACAUGAAGAAAGUGGGUUAAUGGUGUAUUAUUUAAGUAAAGAAAAAGUUGAAAUCUUGAACCUCUAAAUAUUGGGUAACAGCGAGUGUUAAAAGUGCAUAAAGUUCUGCUAUUAUCUACAAGAAACAAUGGAGGAAUCACAUACAUUGUUUAUAUUCACUUUUGUUGCUACACAAGCAAGCUGAGUCCAUAAACAAAGGCAUAUCUUUUUCUCCGUUUUUAAAUGGUUUUCUUGUUUUUCGGCUGCUUUUUAUAUUAAGAGACAGAGAUUGUGAGACCUCGUCAUUCUCAAGGAGAAAGUGGUCAAGCAUGAAGAUGAUGGGAAGACCACGAGUCGAUGGUGGUCGAUCCAUGAGUUGAUUAUGAAUAGUUUCAUGUUAUUAAAUAAAAAUGUUAGCUAAAGUUAGUCGAACGCUGUGUUUUAGGGCCGAGGGUUUAAUGAAACUAUAAGUUUUGAUGUUGAAUAAAAAUGGUGCGUAUUGACUGUUUGUUACAGCUGCUCGAGGAACAGCCCUAUAACAGACUUUGUAGCUGCCAAUUCUCAGCCAUAAUAGAAACUGGCAUGGGAAAUGAGCAGAUAUGCCAUUUUGUGAAGGAAAUCAAUUCUUUCUUCUUCCUCGAUUCUCUUUCUCUUCUCUCUUUUUCUUUCUUCCUCUAUUCUGUUGAAAUUAUGCAUCACUUCACCAGCAUUCAUCAUUGUGGACGUAUCUGAUCUUCAGUCUCUGGUUUACUGCCCAUGUAAAGUUAUGGAAAGGAAUGCAAAUUUAAAAGGUUUUCUUGCUAUAGUCUAUGCAAUUUCAUGUGUGGGUGAAAGGAGAUGAAGAUUAAUAGAGUAAUAUUGAUAUACCAACAAUUCAUUAAUUGAAGUACUAUCAAUAUUAUCAACAAGUAACAGAAUUAAGUGAGUACACUAAUAUAGUCUAGAAAAACAAUUUAAUUAAUAAUACCAUAGGGAUGGCAACGGGGUUAAGUUGCUAUUGCUAUUCAUAUCCCUGCCGCUAGCUUUUGACGACUUCACCAAGUAAACUGCAAUCACAAUUGUUGUUCUUAUUACCUGCAAAAACACAGCCAACAAUCUGAAUCCAUAUCCCCAUUUUAGGAACAAAUGCAUGGUGUACCAUUUGUUUCGAAGCCAAAUCAAUUUUCUUAUUUUUUCUUGAAGUAAAACCUUAUCUGACACUUAUAUUCAACACAUAUUCAUGUAUUGGUAUGAAGAUAUGACACUCUUAUCCUAUACUCGUAUCCGUGCUCAGGUAACAUAAGCUGAACCCGCAAGAUAACUGAUUUAACAUCGCAUUGCUGCUAGCUAUUGAUGAUUCCACCAAGUAAACUGCAAUCACAAGUGUUGUUCUUAUUCCUUGCAAAAACACAGUCAACAAUCUGAAUCCACAUUCCCAUUUUCGGAACAAAACCAUGGCGUACCAUUUGUUUCAAAGCCCAAUCAACUUCCUUUACCAUCUUCCCCUUACAAAAACCAUGAAUCAACUUCUUGUAUGAAUCAAAACUAGGAUUAACCCUCUCGAAAACCAUUCUCCCUAUAAUCUCCUUUGCUUCCAUAAACCUCGCAGCAUCAAGCAAACCGUACAACACCUCUUGAUAAGACCCUGCAUUGGGAUAACACCCUUUCUUUUUCAUAAUUUCCAACAGCUUCACACCUUCAUCAGUCCUACCUUGUUUCCUAAGACCUGAGAUCAAGAUAUUAAAGCUAACAGCAUCAGCAUCGAUUCCUUCCGUUUCCAUCCUCCCCAUCAACUCAAAAGCUUCAUCAACCUUCCCCUUAUCGCACAACCCGUGCAUUAAAGUAGAAUAAGUUCUAACAUUAGGCUUACACCUUUGUUUAGGAAAUUCAUCGAGCAGUUGGAAUGCAAACUCUAAUUUCCCAUUUUCACACAACCCUUUAAUGAGAAUAUUCAGAGUACAAGCUUCGAUUUCAACACCCAAAUUGGGAGCUUUCCCAUAAACCUCGUGAACAACAUCAAAUAGUUUGUUCGAUACGAGUAAGCUCAAUACGAUAUUGAAGGUUUUAACACUAGGCCAAGUCCCAUAUUCUGGCAUGCUAAAAAGGAUCUCGAUUGCCCUUUUGAUUCGACCUCCGACAUGCCCAUACUUUUUAAUCACAUGCUGGAAGAAUUCAUCGGAUAAACGACAGGCUUUUUCACGUUUGAGCUUUUCCAUUAUAUUUUCAAUGGAAUCAAAAUCCUGGGCAUAUGCGAGCUUGUUGAUGAGCAAAGUGAAGAGAGGUUCAGUUGGUUUAUAAUCCUUGCGAGCUGAGUAUUGGGCUAGGACUGAAAUGAGAGAGUUUGGAUCUUUAAGAUUGUCAAAGAUUUUGAGGAUUUCGGUCGGGGAGAGCCAGUCUUUGUGGGUUAGUUUGAAAAGGGGAGGGGAAGUGGUGUGGGUUGGUUGAUGGUAGCUGGAAAGUGAGGAGAAAAACGAAAGGGAUUUAAGAGAUGAGAUUUUAGUGGUCAUUGGAUGUUGAAAAAGUGAGGGAAAAUUUUGGGGGUAAGAGCUUUUGACAGAAGAAAGAAGGGAACGUGAAAUCAUGCGUUUGGCCAUUGGAGAAUGUAGAAACUGGAGAGCUAAAAGCUUUGUGCUAUUCGCACUAUAAACAUAUAUAGGGUAAGGGACAGGCUUAAUACUUGUUUUGUCCCCUGUAAUAUAGUAAAAAAUCUCAUUUUGACCCUUUUCCUUUACUUUGUCUGUUUACUUUCAUUUCGUCCAUUGCCUGCUUACUUUCAUUUCGUCCAUCAUGUUAGUCUAUUGAUCAUUUCCGUAAAUCCCAUGUGUUAGGGUUCCUAUAUUAUAGUAUUCAUCCAUAUACUUUAACCCUCCACGUAGUCGCAAUCAAUUGGCUUAAAUGAUCGAGGAUCACUAUAGUAUAAGGACCAAACGUAAACAUGCACUAAUUUUUUUAUACAGAAAUGGUCAAAGGAUUAAAGUGAUAGAUGAAAUGAAAGUAAAGGGCGCAAAGUGAUUGGAAAAGUAGUAAAAUGUUGGAAAAUAUUAAGAGAUUGUAUGAUGCAAAACUUAAAUAAUUUAUCUACUGAAAUUUUGAGGUGUAUUAUUUCGAAGUAAUGAAUCAUUGUUAUUUACAACUAUAUAUUAUAUCUCUUUGAAAUGUACAAAUANNNNNNNNNNNNNNNNNNNNNNNNNNNNNNNNNNNNNNNNNNNNNNNNNNNNNNNNNNNNNNNNNNNNNNNNNNNNNNNNNNNNNNNNNNNNNNNNNNNNCUUCUUCUUCCCUUCAAGAAUUGGUUGGAUUUGGAGGUGCCUAUUGAAAGCCUGGUUGAAAAGGAAUCGAGUUUGGAAUGCCGAAAUGAUCGGAAGCCAUGCCAAUAUAGCAAUUGGAGAGAAAAGGAUCGAUCCCAUUCCGUAAUCAUAUGCCUUAGCUAGUACCUCAGUGAACUGCCAGAGUCCGGUGUUCUCAGUAAUUGGCCUCACAGCUUGAGCAACCUGAAGGGAACUAAAAUGUCAGAGGGAAUAAGGCAAAAGAUGCAAACUCUAGACAAAUACUAUAUGCUGGUCCUCUAAAUAUAUGAACAAAUUUAGAAAAGAACUUGGGUAUGCCCGUAUUUGAUACUUAUUCUUGAAUUCGAGUAACAUAGUCAACUAGACAUACCAAAAUCAGACCCCAUCCAGUCGGCAGAAAUGCAAGACAGCAGACAAGUAAAUCCUUGGACGACAGUUCACAGAUGACUGAGAGAGUGAUAACAAUGGCGAAAACACUUAGGAAGAGGAAUGCUUUAAAGAACCUAAACAUCAGAUGGUAACGAGCACUGAAGAGUUGCCUUCCAACGUUCACUGCCUGUAUGUCAUGUAGAGAUCAAGUUAUCCGUGCAGAAAAUUCAAGGCUACUUCGGAAUUUUCAAAAUAGAACUCAAUAUACUUGAGUAUUAUGAUACUUGAAUGAAUUUUACCUUGACCGUCAGGAAAACUGCAAGAAUCACAACCCAGGAAAGCAUAUAAACAAGGAAAUUUUUGCUCUGUUGGGAGAUGUCAAGAUGAUACACCAAGCCAUACUGAUACAAGAAAAACCGAAUCGAAAGAAGAAUUUCGAACAAUCUAGCACCAUAUCCUGAACGACGAAGGUGAGCUUGUUCAUCAUUCCACCAAGAUUGCCAACUCUUGUUUUGCUGAAUCCCAAUACCACCUUUCUCCUUGAUCCACUUAUUCCAGCCUUUCCAAUCAUCUACAAUCUUGUCCCAAUCGAACCCGGAAGGAUUAAACAAAAAUGGUGCAAAUAACCAAGUCAUGGUCAUGAACCAAACAGAGUACGUGAUUAAUACAUAUGCCAUGCUACUCUGGUAGGACCUCCGGAACAAAUCGUAAACCACUAACAGGAGCAACAGUUCAAAUCCUUUAACAAAGUGGCUUCGUGAAUACAAUCUGUAGUUCUCAGUAAAGCUGGCAUGAAACACCACAACCUUACGUCCGGUAGGUAUAUACUUAGCUCCGCCAUACAUAAUUGUCCGACCAAAAUGAUGGGUUUUUGUCCCAAGGGAAAAAGUGAAGAAAACAGCAGCAAACUGCAGUUGCAUAAGAACAAAAUCUUUAAGGGCCGUAAGAAAUCCCUUCUCAAGUCCGAUCUCCAUUACCAUCGGUAAGCCAGUUAAAAGACCAAGCUGAAUAAACGAUUGAGAAGCAAGAGCAGUUUCCAAUGAUUCAGUGUUUUUCAUUCUAGCCUCAAUGAGGAGUGCCUUUUCUAGUCCACUAAGAACAAGGUAUAGUUGUCCGUAGAGGAACACAUAAAUUCCGAGUACAGAAAUCUGGUUUUUUACAGAUCAUAAGACGGGAAAGGCAAAAAUCAGAAAAGCAUCAUACAGAGAUAAAUAGGAAUCGGAUCAGGUAACCUUGUUUAGUGUGAGAGAAUUACCAGGCUGCUGAAGUAAAAUCCAAUGGUUGUGAAAUAGCAAGAUAGCAUCCUAAAANNNNNNNNNNNNNNNNNNNNNNNNNNNNNNNNNNNNNNNNNNNNNNNNNNNNNNNNNNNNNNNNNNNNNNNNNNNNNNNNNNNNNNNNNNNNNNNNNNNNNNNNNNNNNNNNNNNNNNNNNNNNNNNNNNNNNNNNNNNNNNNNNNNNNNNNNNNNNNNNNNNNNNNNNNNNNNNNNNNNNNNNNNNNNNNNNNNNNNNNNNNNNNNNNNNNNNNNNNNNNNNNNNNNNNNNNNNNNNNNNNNNNNNNNNNNNNNNNNNNNNNNNNNNNNNNNNNNNNNNNNNNNNNNNNNNNNNNNNNNNNNNNNNNNNNNNNNNNNNNNNNNNNNNNNNNNNNNNNNNNNNNNNNNNNNNNNNNNNNNNNNNNNNNNNNNNNNNNNNNNNNNNNNNNNNNNNNNNNNNNNNNNNNNNNNNNNNNNNNNNNNNNNNNNNNNNNNNNNNNNNNNNNNNNNNNNNNNNNNNNNNNNNNNNNNNNNNNNNNNNNNNNNNNNNNNNNNNNNNNNNNNNNNNNNNNNNNNNNNNNNNNNNNNNNNNNNNNNNNNNNNNNNNNNNNNNNNNNNNNNNNNNNNNNNNNNNNNNNNNNNNNNNNNNNNNNNNNNNNNNNNNNNNNNNNNNNNNNNNNNNNNNNNNNNNNNNNNNNNNNNNNNNNNNNNNNNNNNNNNNNAAGGUCCUUACCAAACUUAAGGGCUGAAAGCAGCAAACGUUAUCUUGAAGGGGAAGGGAGGUUCUUAUUAAAGCAGUAGCAUGCGCUUCAAUGUAUACGAUAUCUUUUCGAAUUUCCUAAAAACUUAUGCGUGGAAAUGAAUUCAGCUUUGCAUCAGGAUCCUGAUCCAGAAUAUUGUGCAGCUUCUGGACGAAGGGUCAACUAUGAUAAAAACAAGUAGGACUAACUAGCCCAAAGAGCAUCAGGAUCCUGGACUAACUGUCAAGAUUGUUUUGCAAGUAGAGGAAGUCCUCCAAGCUUUUCAAUGGAUACGUCUCUCAUUUUCCUUCUGCUGAAUUCAUUUCCACGCAUAAGUUUUUAGGAAAUUCGAAAAGAUAUCGUAUACAUUGAAGCGCAUGCUACUGCUUUAAUAAGAACCUCCAUUCCCCUUCAAGAUAACGUUUGCUGCUUUCAGCCCUUAAGUUUGGUAAGGACCUUUAUAUAUAUAUAUAUAUGGUUAAAGUAAGGACCUUAUCUUUGAUAUGCCUCAAAGUUAAUGUUUUCGAAAGCCCCCACAAAGAAGGGACACCCAAGUAGGCGUCCGAAUUAUUUGCCACCUCUAAGGUAGUCUCUUCUUGAAUCAACCUUUCGUUGUCCCUUUGGGAGUAUUCACACUAAAAACGUUGCUUGAUUUAUCAUAGUUGACCCUUCGUCCAGAAGCUGCACAAUAUUCUUGAAUCAAGUUAAUCAUUCUCCUACAAUUUAAUGAACUAGCUUCCAAAAAGAAUAGAAAUCGUUCGUGAAUAACAAAUGUGACACUACUGGAUAAUGACUACNNNNNNNNNNNNNNNNNNNNNNNNNNNNNNNNNNNNNNNNNNNNNNNNNNNNNNNNNNNNNNNNNNNNNNNNNNNNNNNNNNNNNNNNNNNNNNNNNNNNAACUCCUUUCAAUAUAUUCACCAUGAUCUUCGAUAUGAUUUAAUACUUAAAAUUAUAAGGAAUAAUUGACCUAAUUAAAUUAUGUCAUUAAUUCAAGACAUUUAGUUUUCAGAAGUAAAAUUAUCUCAAUCUCGUUCGAAAAUUUCCCUUCCCUAAAAAAAAAACUCUUAAUAGCUUCCAAAACAUCCUUUUUAAUAAUUUCCCAAUAAUUAUGAUAGAAAAUCCCGUUAAAAUCAUCCACGAAAAAAGAGAUUAAUUUAAUUGUUUUGUAUGCUUAACUUGUACAAUAUAAGUAAAAUAUUAUAAUUUUAUCUCCAAAUUCUCUCAACACAUCUUUCUGACCCUUGUUUAUAAUCUCAUUUGUAUCUAGCAGGAUAUCCAAUUUAAAAUUAAAUAAUUUUUUUUAUAAUUCUUUAAAUAUUAAAAAUAUUUUCCUCUAUUAUUAUUUUUUGUUGUUGGAGUAUUAAAUAUUAGCCUUAAAACCAUAAGGCAUGAACUAUUCCAAACAACCCUUAAAAAGAUAUGUAAAUUUUGUUUUUGAAUAUCAUUUUUACUUUUUUAGGUUUCAAAUUGGAUAGUGAAUUAUAUAUUUAUUUAUUCGAAACUCCUCUUAAAUUAAUAAGAGUGAAGUUUCUUAUUUAGUAUUGAUUGUUCCAUAAAAUAUUCAAAGUUUUCAAAGUUUUCAAAUAGAUUUAUUUUUUUAAGUGUAGUUAAUAACCUCAAUAAAAAUUAAACUUUAUAAGUGAUGAAUUUAUAUUAAAAAUUGUUUGAUAAAUUCAUAAAAUAUAAGUUUGGGUUCAUCUACUUUUACAUUUCUUUUACCUAUUUAAAUUAUUUCUUAAUUUUUCUUAUUUUUUAAAAAAUUAUUCUUAAUUUUUUAUACAGGAAAAAUAAUCGACGAGGAAAUGAAAAAGUUAGGAGAGAACAUGGUUCAACAUUGUGCAGGGCUUCCAUUAGCCAUUGUUGUAUUGGGAGGAAUUUUAGCUACAAAGAAUAAUUCAUUAAACGAAUGGCGAAAGAUAUCUGACAAUGUAAAAUCCUACUUGAAGAAGGGCAAAAAUCAAAGACUAGAGGAUGUGUUAGCAUUAAGUUAUGAUGAUUUGCCUCCCUAUCUAAGACCAUGUUUCCUCUAUCUAAGCCAUUUUCCGGAGGAUUAUAUGAUAGAUGUGGAUAGAUUGAUUCAAUUAUGGGUUGCUGAAGGUAUUGUGUCAUCAAAGCAAGAAGAAAGAGAUGGUGGGGAAAUUGUGGAAGAUGUGGCGGAAUCUUAUUUAAUGGAGCUUGUGGAAAGGUGCAUGAUUCAAGUACGAGAAAGAGAUGUGGCAACCUUAAAGGUCAAAACAAUUCAGAUGCAUGAUCUGAUGAGAGAUCUUUGCUUAUCAAAAGCAAAACAAGAAAAUCUUGUCUUCAUUGUUGAUCGACCGAAUGCAUCUUCGUUAUCUAUGAUUCGGAAGGUUCAUAGGGUUUCUGUGCAUGAGUUUUUUUUCAUACAAUGCAUUAAAAGUCCAAAUAUUUAGUCACUUUUGUUCUUCAAUGAGUUCUUUCCGAAGGAGGCAAUUGAAAAAUCUUUGCCCUUGAAAGUGUUGAAUUACGUUGAAGAACAUGAAGAUGAUGAUUGUAAUCCACUAUUUUGGAUUCUUAUAACUUUGGCACGUUCUACAGGACGUCAUAAAAUUCACGAAAUUUGUAGAUACAUGUUCAACAACUUCAAAUUGCUAAGAGUCCUAAACUAUGAGAUAAGAACAAGAAGAACACGUGAUCUUUUUGGAGGGUGGAAGUUACCCAGUGAUAUAGGUAAUCUCGUCCAUUUAAGAUUCUUGAGUCUAAGGAAUUUUGAGUUCCAACGGUCAAAGUUGCCAUCAUCUCUAGGCAACUUAAGGUGCUUGCAAACCUUGGAUUUAAGAGUUGAUGACAGAAUUCAUGUACCUAAUGUGAAAUGGAGGAUGGAGCAACUAAGACAUUUAUAUCUCCCUUUGAGAUGUAAAAGCAGAACUAAGUUGAAGUUGGGUACUUUGACAAAACUCCUAACACUUGUGAACUUCAAGACCAAGAAUUGUUAUCUGAAGGAUCUUAUCAACAUGACAAAUCUUAGAGAGUUGGGGAUAAAUUUGCCCUUCAAUAUUGAAAAUUUCAAUGAGAAGGAGUUGGGCGAGAAUCCACCCAUAAUCGGAAGUAAAUAUCUUCAUUCCUUGUCUAUUACCUAUGAAGAAGGACUGAAAAUAUUUACUUUAUUUUCUAUUGAUGUCAUUAUGAAAUCCUGGUCAAAAAUAGAUCCAAGACAUUUGGCCCACCUCCUUUCAAAUUGUACUAGUAUUUGCAAGUUGAGUAUAACAAGAGUGAUAAGUGAGUUACCAGAGUAUCACUACUUCUCUUCCCAUCUCGCUUACAUACGGUUGAUAUGUUGUAAGUUUGAGGAAGAUCCAAUGCCAACACUAGAGAAGCUGCCUAACUUAAGGAUUCUUGAACUCAAAUAUACUUCAGAAGGAAAGGAAAUGUUUUGCUCUGCUCAGGGUUUUCCUAAACUUGAGUCUCUAAUCCUUGCGGAGCUCUACAAAUUGGAGGAGUGGAAGGUGGAUGAAGGAGCCAUGCCUUCUCUUCAGCGAUUGGAGAUUGAGGAAUGUGGAAACUUGAAGAUGCUUCCAGAGGGAUUGAGGUUCAUUACAACCCUCAAAGAACUGAAGCUUGAAUUAAUGCCAAAGGCAUUCAAAGAUAGAUUAGAGGAAGGAGGAGAAGAUUUCUGCAAAGUCAAACAUGUUCCUUCUGUCAUAUUCCAAAAAUGUGGCUAAUAGAUUGAAUGAUAAUUGAGAGGUAAUUUCAUAACCUCUGGUUUAGGAAAUGAUUCCUACUUUCUUUGCUUCUUAUAUAUCUUUUGUUUUUGACAAUGUCUCACAUUCUCACUCACUUUGUCAACACACCAAUGAAUAAUUACAUUUAUUGAAAGUCAAAGGAAGUGAGACAUUGAUAUUUUUAGUUUUUCUUUUCAGGUAAAGACGCCAUUUUUUCACCUGCUACUGCUAUUCACGGGAUCAAAUCUAGAUUUAAAACUCCUAUUAUAAGUGGCAUGUGAAAGUGUGUUAUAUGGUGAGAUUUGGAAUUAUGUUCUCUCUUGUAUAUAUCUGUGGUUGUUGACUGUUUGUUGUUUUCUUCAAAUUACAAUAAAACGGUUGCAAGAUAUGGUAUUGGAAGAAUGGGAGGUGUCUGGAUUAGCAAGGUACCAAACUCCUCCUCCAUUUCAAUUUCCUUCAAUCUAAUUUAAUUACACGUUCAUUUUUGUCUUUUAAAACAUAAAAUUGCAGAUAAGGAGACGUCACUGACCUUUGUUCCCACAUAGCUUUGGUUUGCGCCUUUGCGGUGACCAUUCCUAUAUUUAUUUGUUAGCUUUGCUUUCUCUGCUUGAGUCUUUCUCUUUUUUCUUUUUUCUUUUUUUUAUAUGCACUUAAUGUAAUAUUAGAAGCCAAGGCAGGACCAUGCUUUUCUAUUGUAAAAUUCAUCACUUUGUUGUCUAUGUUCAUUUCUACUUUUCAUUUGAUAUAUAUUUGAAUAUGGAGAAUAUAAUCUUUUUAAUAUAUACAUAUUUUAGAAAAAAAAUGAAUAUAUGUAUGUUUGACAUAUUUCCCGUUUCAACAUAUUUCCUUAUUUUAUGCAAGUCAAUUGGCAUUUAACCAAAUAAAUUUAAUUGCUUCAGUUUGAGUUAAAAUUAAAAUUUCAAAAUUAAAAAAAAAAUACAAAAAAUAAAGUUGACAAAUUCAAAAAUAUACAUAUUAAAAUUGAUCAAAUUAAAAGUGCACUGGCUAACCUUAAUUUUUUUGUUAAUCUUUCUUUUCGAUUAAUUAAAUGUCCAUGACGUAUAUUAUAUAUCUUAAUAUAUAAAUAUUUUUAAAAAAAUUAAAUAUAUGUAGGUUGGACACAUAUUCAAGUUUGAUAUUCGUCUUAAAUUCGUGCAAUACGGUUAAAUAUUGGUGAAUUAGUAGUUGAUGAAGUAUUAUAUACAUUCUUGGAAUAUUGCUCUAUUCAACGAAUUUAUUUCAGCUCCAUAUGCUUAAAACGCCUCCCAUUUCUAACAUAUUUCCUCAUUUUGGGUAACUCGAUUGGUAUACAAUGUAGUCUUUUUCAUUGUUUAGUAUCCUAAUCCUUAACUCAAUAAUCUUUGUUACAAUAGGGUUUAAUGAUUGCAAUUCAUCUCGAUGCUUCCGAAGCAAAAAAAAAAAAAAUCAAAUUUUACCGGUUAAUUACAUGUCAACACAUAUAAUCCACGAUAUGUUUAUCUGAAAGAUUAAAUAAGAUUAACUAAAUCACAAAGAAAAUAAACGAGUAAACAUAAUCUAGAAAUUCCAAAUUACAUUAUCUAACAAAAAUUCAAUAAGAAAUAAAUGGUUGCAUUUCAUUCUUUAGGGAUUUGCUCUUAUAUCUUCCAACAAUAGCUUGAUGAUAAUAAGCUGAAAAAGAAAAGGAGUCCAAGGGAAUUGAAGAUUCUUAAUUCAGCUAGCUUAAUUGAUUGAAUACUUCAAAUACACUUAAUUAAUACCAAUUAUAUUUAUCAAUAAAUCUAAAAUUUGAAUCCCUCAUUUGCAACCUAUUUUGUAAAAACUGCCAAAUGAAAUCAAAUUAUCUUGUUUCAAUUCUCUUCAAAUUUUAGUUUACAACUUCUAUUUUUGGGUUUCCAUUUGUUUCUACUUUUAAAGCAAACAUUGAUUCAAGAAAUAUUUAUUUCAUUUGGCUUAUUUUCUUUUCUAUUUUUAUGCUAUUCAGAUUCGAUGAAAUAUUGAACAUAAUAUGUGUGCAAGUUAGAUGUCCGAGUCUUGAAAUGUAAGAUCGAAACGGGAGAAAUAUCCUAAAACCCGAUGCUUAAAGAUUUAUAAAAUUUAGUAUAAUCAUGUUGUUUUCAUUAUUAUAAAACUCAAUGUUAAAAUGUCUAUGAUUUGAAUUAUGAUACAAGAGAAAAAUAGCUAACUAUUUUAAGUUCAAGGUGUGAGAAAACCUCAAUAUCUAAGAUAUGAAUGUUGUAAAGUACCACUCAAUCACAGCCACAUUUGUUAGUAUGACUACUUUGGAUGAAAAGUUCUAUUCCAAGUUAUAUAUACACACAGAAAUACACAUGAAGUGGAUUAAUGGUGUAUUAUUAAGUAAAGGAAAACGGUUCUAACUAAAAGAAAGAGUUGAAAUCUUGAACCUCCAAAUAUUGGGUAACCGCUGGUGUUAAAAAGUGCAUAAAGGUCCGCGCUUAUCUACAAGAAAUAAUGGAGGAAUCGCAUACGCUGUUUAUAUUCAUUUUUUUUGCUCCACAAGCAAUCCGAAACCAUAAACAAAGGAGUACUUUUUUGCCUUUUUUAAAUGGUUUUCUUGUUUCUUUUCCGCUUUUCAAAUUCUUCAUUCAAUUCAAGUUCAAGAAACCAUACUAAAUAUAUAUAUAUGUUUAUAUUCGCUUUUCUUGCUACACAAGCAAGCCAAAACCAUAAACAAAGGCAUGCAUUUUAUUUCCUUUUUUAAUGGUUUUCUUGAUUCUUUGUUGUUUUUAAAAUUCUUCAUUCAAUUCAAGUUCAAGAAACCAUACUAAAAUAUAUAUUUAUAUUCGCUUUUUUUGCUACACAAGCAAGCUGAAACCAUAAACAAAGGCAUACAUUUUUUCCUUUUUUAAAUGCAUUUUUUUUUUUGUUUCUUUGUUGUUUUUUAGAUUCUUCAUUCAAUUCAAGUUCAAGAAAUCAUACUAAUUAUAUAUGUUUAUAUUCACUUUUCUUGCUACAUAAGCAAGCCGAAACUAUAAACAAAGGCAUACCUUUUUUUCCCCUUUUUAUCUUGCUGCUUUUUAGAUUUUUCAUUCAAUUCAAGUUUAAGAAAUCAUACUAUAUAUAUACCAUACUAUAUAUAUAUAUAUGUUUAUAUUCACUUUUCUUGCUACACAAGUCAACUGAAACCAUAAACAAAGGCAUAACUUUUUCGCUUUUUUUAAAAUGAUUUUUUUUCUUUGCUACUUUUUUAAAUUUUUAUUCAAUUUAAGUUUAAAAAACCCUACUAAAUAUAUAUAUAUAUAUAUAUAUAUUAAGAGAGAGACAUCAUCAUCCUCAAGGAGUAAGUGGUUAAGCAUGAACUUGAUGGGAAGGCCACAAGUCGGUGGUGGUCAAAUCAUGAGUUGAUUAUGAUUAGUUUCAUGUUAUGGAAAAAAGAUGCUAGUUAAAAUUAGUUACUUGACCGUUGCAUUUUGAGGUUGAGAGUUUAAUGAAACGAUACGCUUUGAUGUUUAAUGAAAACGGUGCGUAUUGAAAGUUUGAUACAACUAAUCGAAUAACAAGCCUGUAACAACUUUGUAACUACCAAUUCCUCGCUUUAAAAAAAUAUUCCAAAUAUGUUUUCUCACCUUAUCAUUUUUGUUAUUUUUCAAGCCCCCUUACCAUUUUAUAUUUUUAAUGGGUAUAUUAUAAAAAUAGUCACCUAGGUAUUGCUUUCAUUCUAUUUUAUUCACUAAGUUAUUAAUUUUUUCGAUUUAAUUACUAAAUUUUUUUAAAUUAAAUAUUUUGAUCACUCUCCCAUUAGUUAUCAUUAGAUAAGUGAUAGGAAGUUAAUGUGGGCUUUUUUUAUUAGUCUAAUAACAAAUUUAGUCAUCUAAUGUUUACACAUUCUAUUAAAUUGAUUUUAAAUAUAAAAUGUUCAAUAGCUUUAAACCUAAAUGUUUACCAAAUCUAUUGUUAUAGUUCAAAUCCUAAAAAUUUCAAUAAAUUUAAUCCUCAAAAUUUGUAAAUUUAAUUUUAAUUCUAACUCAUGGAUGAAUUAAGCAAAUUAAAUCAAAUCAAAUCAAUCGAACAAAGAAUUUAAUUAAAAAGAAAUUCUUCACAUGCAUCAAGGAGGGACUUCCUCUGGUGGUAUCAAGGGGAUUGAUAGAAACAGCUCAGGCUCGAACAAGAACUUCACUGGGCUUAAGAUCAGGAACAGACACAUCGGAUCAAAGCUGCAACACCUCAGGUCCACCGAACCGAGGCAGCAACACCGCCCUGCAACUGUUGGCAUAGCACCGAAUUGAACCCACUUUCAAUGAUAUGAUAACUCCAUAAAGGGUUUGGGUUUUAAGCUUUGAAAGUUCCCCUUUUUCUUCUCAAAUUUUCUGAACUUCAGCUCCUUCCUUUUGUUAAAUGAAGGAAAAGCAAAGGAGAGACACCGAAGUGUUUUAAUCCACAUAGAAAAUAGUGAUUAUGUGACUUGUGAGUGUUGGCCUGGGGUCUUGGAAGAAGAAGAUGAAUAUUGCAUAAUCGAUUUUUAAUUGCUUACUACAUUCAUAAUUAAAUAAAUAAAAAUUUCUAACCUUAUCAAUUAAAUCAAGUUAGAAUGUUCAACUUGAUUUUUGUUUGUUAUAAGGAUCAUAUAUUAUAAAACUUAAUUUUAUUUUAAUAAUUAUAUAAUAUUAUUUUUAAUUAUAUCAUCUGAUACCAUCUUGAGGGCUAAAUUUAGAAUUAAAAUUAAAUUGACAAAUUUUAGAAAUUUUGAGCUUAAAUUUAUUUUUAUUUUUAGGAAUUUGAAAUAAAAUGAGAAAUUUUGUAAAUAUUGAGGAUUAAAUUUGUUGGAAAUUUUAUAUUUAGAAUCAAAUGGUAGAAUGUCUAAACAUUAGGGGGCUAAAUUUAUUAUUAGACCAAUAAAAACAAGUUCAUAUCAAUUUCCCGUCACUCAUCUAAUUGCAACUAAUGAGGAAGUGAUGAAAAUAUUUAACUUCUAAAAAUUUAAUGACUAAAUAAAAAAAUUAACAUUUAAGUGAUCAAAAUAGAAUGAAAUCAAUAAUUUGAUGAGCAUUUUUGUACUGUACCCUAUCUUAAUCCAUCUCACAACCAAAUUUCUCCGUCUUUGCCUAAGUUCUGUGUCUUUGUCAAAUUUUAAUAGAAUUAACAUUUUUAUUUAAAAAAUAUCUUUAAUCGUUUAAUAUAUUUUUAAUAAGUAAAUGUUAAUUCCGUUAAGGGUCAGUUUGUUUACACGUAAAAAGUUAAAAAUAAAAAUAUUGAGUUCUAUAAUAUGAGUCUAUUGAACCGAUUCAAUCAUAAAUUUUAUUAUUAUUGGUUUAUAUAAUGGUUUGAUUUUGAAAAUAUUUGGUUUAACAUUUAGUCAUCCCUUUGAUCAAUUUUAAAUUUUAGAAAUAAUUUUGUUUUUUGUUUACAUUUAAAUGUACAGUUUCUAAUGCAUAUGUGUUACAUUUGAUUUCAAGCCAUUAAUCCUUAAUUACUUUUUAAAAUAAUAGUUUCUUUUAGUUUUUAAAUAAUGUAUAAAUUUAUAAUUAUAUAAGAAAGUAAACUAUAAUAUUAAAUUUUUAAAAAUUAAGUAAAACAACAUGCAAUAAUUUUCAUAAUAAUUAAUGAUAAAUAAGAAAAAUAUUCACAAUUAUAAAACAAACCGUUUAAGAGUAUAUAAACUACUUAUACAAAAUUCUUUUAAAUCAAAGAUGAAAUUAUAUAUAUAUAAAUAACAAAUGAAAUUAUAUAUACAAAUUUAUAAGUGAAAAAUAUACAUAAUUAUAUUCAUAAAAAGUACAUAUGACAAUAUACAAACAAGGCUAUAAAGUAAUUCAUAGGAACAUGGCUUUCUUGUUAGUAUUCUCAUUCUUUUUUUAACAUACCUUUCUUGCUUGUGUUCUCAUUCUAUUAUGAAUAUACCUUUCUUGUUCGUAUUCUCGUUCUAUUGAUGAUUAAUGUUGCUUUAUAAUUGUUUAUAAAUUUAAUAGAACUAUAUAUUACUACUAAAAGUAUAAAAGGGCAAUGAUUUGCAAUUGUUUUUAUAAUUAAGUACUGGUUCUUGCAAUUGUUUUCCCAGCAAGAUUGCGGCACUCACAUCUUGAAAUCCAAAUUCAAGAUUUUAAAGAAUUUUCUGAGCUCGAUAGCUAUUAUGGCUUGGUCUGCUGUGACAUCUGCAGUGACAACAAUUGGCAACCUGCUAACUCAGGAAGCCAUAUACCUAUGGGGCGUGGAGGAGCAAGUUGAUCGUCUGCAAACAGAGCUCAAAUGGAUGCAAAGCUCCUUAAUGGUGGCAGAGACAAAACAAUCAACGGAUGAGAGGAUUCGUCUUUGGGUUGCUGAAAUCAGAGAGCUUGCUUAUGAUGCUGAGGAUAUUGUUGAGGAAUUUGCUCUCAAGAUUGGAUCCAAAAACAAAGGUGGCCUUCCGAGUUGUAUUAAAAGAUCAGCCUGCUGUUUGAAAGAGGGAUGGGUGCUCCAUGAAACCAGGUCAAAGAUCGAGAAAAUCAUAGAAAGAGUCAGCGACUUGGUCCGACGACUACAGGCCUACGGCGUAAAGGAAUUAAAUCCCAGAGGAGAAGGAUCAAGUUUUUCAACUGAAAUACGAGAAUCAAGGCGGCCUUAUCCACAUAUUAUGGAUGAUAAUAUUGUUGGACUAGUUGAUGAUACCAAGGGAUUGGUCGAAGUUCUUACGAAGGAAAGUGGAUGCAAGGUUGUUACAAUAUGGGGCAUGGGUGGUCUGGGAAAGACCACUCUCGCCAAGAAAAUAUAUCACCAUGGUGAGGUUAUUGAUUAUUUCGAUCACUUGGCUUUUGUAUAUGUUUCUCAACCAUGCCGGAAAAGAAAUGUUUGGGAAGACAUUUUAUCUGGUUUCAAAACUUUAGAUAAAGAGGACAGGAAGAUAACAGAUGCAGAAUUAGCAGGGAAGUUGAGUAAAACUUUGAAGGAUAAAAAGUGUCUGGUGAUACUUGAUGAUGUUUGGACCAGUGAAGCUUGGGAUAGUCUAAAACCUGCCUUUCCAGUUGAUAGCAAAAGCAAGAUAUUGCUCACCUCUAGAAACAGGGGGAUAGUUUCAUAUGCUGACAUAAAAGGUAAAAUUUUCUUAAUUAGGUAAAAUUGAAUACUCUUAUUCCUUUGAUGGAAAAUAACCAUGUAUAUUAUUUCAGAGUUGAAGUGCCUAAACGAUGAAGAAAGUUGGGAAUUGUUUCAAAAGAUUGUAUUUCCUCAAACAGGUAAAUAUACAUAUAGCAAAAUUCUUGUUAUACGCUAAAUUUAUUUUUCAUUUUUAAUUUUUUUGACAAUAAUUAAAUUUAAAAAUAUAUAAAAUCUAUUUUAUUUAAAAAUUUCAAAACCUUAAUAUGAAAUAAAUAAAAGAAAUCAAGGCUUUGUAGUUUAUCAGCUAAUGGUACACGCAAGUAAAUAUAAUUAAUAGGUAAAUUCAUUAUCUUUUAUAUUAUAUAUUUUUAAUAACUUUGCUAUUAGUUACCGAGAAUAAAUUAUAUUAGGAUCAUCUUAAAAAAAUAUAAAUUUUAGGCACCAAUAAAAUAAUGUUACAUCGUUAAAUUUUUAAGAUAACAAAGAAUUAUUAUACACUCAUUUAUAUUUAAUAUUUUCUCCAACUUAAUUUAACUUUAAUUAAAUUAUUUAAAAUAAUUAAUUUUUUAAAUUAUAGACAAACAUCUUUUCUUCUUUUACAAAAUUUAAUCAUUUUUUUAUAAGUUAAUAUUUUUUUUAUUUUUGUGCAACCAUUUUUUAAAAAAAUAGUAAUUUUUGUGCAAUAUUUUUCAUGUCAUUGACACAUAAUUUUGAUAAUUAUUUUAUCCUGAACCCAAAACCCCGAACCUUGAACUCGAACCCUAAACCCUGAACCUAAACCUUGAGCCCUGAAUCUCAUAAUUUAAGGUUUGGAUUCGAGAUUUAAAGCUCAGAAUUCGAAGUUCAAGUUUAAAGUUUAAGGGUUCAGGUGGGUUACGAGUUUAGGAUUCAUGGUUCAAGGGUUUGGGGUUGCAAGUUUGGAGUUUUAUGUUUUGGAUCUAGGUUUAGAAUUAUAGAUUUAGGGUUCAGGUAAAAAAUUUACCAAAAUUAUGUGUCAAUGACAUGGAAAAAAUUGUUGAAAUGUUAUUAAAUAAUUGGAAAGGGACCAUGAAUAAUGUGGUCAGAAGAGUCCAUAAAAUAAUUUCUCUAUGGAUGAGUGUAUAAUAAUUUAUGUCUUUAAAAUUUGAUGAUGUGACAAAAAAAAUUUAAUUUUUAGGAUCUUCCUAAUGUAAGUUAUUACCUUAUCUUAAUUAUUGGACUAUAUGCUUGUUUAGUUUCUUAAGCACUUUCAUGGUAUUCUUUUAUACGUUUAUCCUGGAUCCUUGCAUCAGAAAGAUUGAGGUGCAGGUAAACCAUUCUUAUCAAGAGUAAAGCCUAAGAAAGAUGUAGUUGAUUCGAACAACUAGCACAUCUCUUUAUGACCCUAUUUAGCAAACCAAUCCACUAACCUAUUGGCUUCUCGUCUGAUAACAUUGACUUUCAAAGAAGAAAGUUGCAUGACCAGCAUAUCAAAAACCUAAAGGACUAGCCUUAAUCUCCAUCUUCGAUCUUGACUUUUCUUCUUAAUGUUAGAAGCAAUAGUCUGGGAGUUAGUCUUGAUUGUCACAUUGGUCCAUUUGUUCUUCAUAGUUAAUUCAAUCCAUCCAACCAUAGCUUUAGCCUCGACAACCUUACAUGAAUCCACUUAAUCCUUUUACCAAUCCCAUCCAGAAUCUUCCCACUUAAAUUUCUGCCUAUUUCUCUAAUACCGGCACAAGCUAUUAAGGUGUCAAAUGCCCCAUCACAAUUAACUUUAACCCAACCUUCUGGUGAUUUCUCCCAAAUAUCAGCACAAGUAUUUGACUUCCUAGUUCGAUCAGAGUUAUUGUUUGAACAGAGGAUCCAUUGAGCAGAUAAGAAUUCAUUCAUGGAGCAAUUAAUCCUUCGAAUAAUUCUCUCCAAACCAAGUUUCACACCUCCGAUUGUAACCUCACACCUAGCUUUCCAGAUGUGGUAACAAGUGAAAACAAUUCUAACUUGAAAAUCCUCCCUCAUACAAGGCAUUUGUAACAACUUAGAGAACCAUCUGUCAAAUGAUUGAGUUUGAUCAUUUAGCCCUUAAAGACCAAAACAAGCAUCAUACUAUAUUCCCCUAACCCUAUUACAACUAAGAAUAAUAUGUUCAAAGUCUCAUCUUCAAUACCACAUAAACAACAAAUUGUGUUCGAAAAACAUUUUCUUUUCCUCGGAUUAAAACGAGAUGGAAUAGCAUUAUGACACAAUUUCCAUAAGAAAAUUUUAAUUUUUUUCAGUACCUGUAAGCUCCAAAUAGCUUUCUGAGUGCUCCUAUCAAUUAAGUGAGAGCUGGAAGAUUGUAAAGAAGACUCAUUUCCAUAGUGCUUUCUCAUCUCCUUAUACCCUGACUUCAUCAAAUAUUGACCAACAGCUGUAAACGGCCACACCAAUUUAUCUUGUUCAUCUGUUUCAUGAACGGGAACUGUUGGAAAUUGCCAAUCAUUCUGCUGUUACAUUUUUUGGUUGAAGUGCAUGCAGAAAAAAAAUGUUAGAAAUUUGCCAACCAUGCUGCUGUUACAUUUUUUGGUUGAAGUGCAUGCAGCUUGAUGACAUGUUGCAUGCACUUCAACCAAAAAAAUGUAACAGCAACAUGGUUGGCCAAUUUCCAACACUCCUCCUUGGACUCUAUGCUGCAAAUACCAGUCAUUCAUUAAGUUUUUGAACUUGGCAGUCCUUAGAUGCUUUGUUUCAAGCUAACUCUUCUCAAGCAAUUCAUUUUCAACAUUGGCUUCAUUCUCAACCAAAUCUGACUUACACACUUGACUAUACCACUCUUUUGUGCCAAAGAUUUGUCCAUCAAAUGGAGUAUUCUCCUCUUUCACAGCCUUGGUUGACAACUUGCCUUUAAACUCAUCUUUUCUUUCUUGCCUUGUCCCUUUACUCAUUACAAUCCUGUUUCUUCUUGCACAAACAGUUCAUGAGUAUAGUUUGCUUGCCUUCAGUCUGCCAUUUUGGCUUGCACCUACUCGAGCUUGCAUUUAAACUGUUUGCCACUUUGGCUUGCAAUUCGAUAAGCUCACACUUUGACAAGCUCACACUUUGCUUACUGUCUUCAACAGGCUCGCAACUUUACAACUCGCAUUGAGCUUCCACAUGUUGCUGAGCUCACACCCAAAGUUAAUGAUUUCGAAAGCCCCCACAAAGAAGGGACACCCAAGUAGACGUCCGCAUUAUUUACCACCUCUAUGUUAGUCUCUUCUUGAAUCAACCUUUCGUUGUCCCUUCGGGAGUAUUCACACUAAAAACGUUGCUUGAUUUAUCAUAAUUGACCCUUCGUCUAGAAGUUGCACAAUAUUCUUGAAUCAAGUUAAUCAUUCUCCUACAAUUUAACGAACUCACUUCCAAAAAGAAUAGAAAUCGUUCGUGAAUAACAAAUGUGACACUACUGGAUAAUAACUACUAAGGCUAAUCCAAGAAAUAAAACUAGACUCGACUCUAUUAAUAAUCACCACCCCUAGAACUCCUUUCAAUAUAUUCACCAUGAUCUUCGAUAUGAUUUAAUACUUAAAAUUACACAGACUAAUUGACCUAAAUUAUGUCAUUAAUUCAAAACAUUUAGUUUUCAGAAUUAAAAUUAUCUCAAUCUCAUUUGAAAAUUUCCCUUCCCUAAAAAAAAAAACUCUUAAUAGCUUCCAAAACAUCCUUUUUAAUAAUUUCCCAAUAAUUAUGAUAAAAAUUCUGCUAAAAUAUUCGCAAAAAAAAGAUAUUAAUUUAAUUGUUUUGUAUGCUUAACUUGUACAAUAUAAGUAAAAUCUUAUAAUUUUAUCUCCAAAUUCUCUUAACACAUCUUUCUGACCCUUAUUUAUAAUCUCAUUUGUAUCUAAGAGGAUAUUCAAUUUAAAAUUAAAUAAUCUUUCUUAUAUAAUUCUUUAAACAUUAAAAGUAUUUUCCUCUAUUUUUUUUUUUUUGGUUGGAGUAUUAAAUAUUAGCCUUAAAACCAUAAGGCAUGAACUAUUCCAAACAACCCUUAAAAAGAUAUGUAAAUUUUGUUUUUGAAUAUAUCAUUCUUACUUUUUUAGAUUUCAAAUUGGAUAGUGAAUUAUAUAUUUAUUUAUUUGAAACUCCUCUUAAAUUAAUGAGAGUGAAGUUUCUUAUUUAGAAUUGAUUGUUCUAUAAAGUAUUCAAAUUUUUCAAAUAGAUUUAUUUUUUCAAGUGUAGUUAAUAACCGCAAUAAAAACUAAAUUUUAUAAGUGAUGAAUUUAUAUUAAAAAUUGUUUGAUAAAUUCAUAAAAUAUAAGUUUGGAUUCAUCUACUUUUACAUUUUUUUUACCUAUUUAAAUUAGUUCUUAAUUUUCCUUAUUUUUAAAAAAUUUAUUCUUAAUUUUUUAUACAGAAAAUAUAAUCGACGUGGAAAUGAAAAAGUUAGGAGAGAAUAUGGUUAAACAUUGUGCAGGGCUUCCAUUAGCCAUUGUUGUAUUGGGAGGAAUUUUGGCUACAAAGAAUAAUUCAUUAAAUGAAUGGCGAAAGAUAUCUGACAAUAUAAAAUCAUACUUGAAGAAAGGCAAAAAUCAAAGACCAGAGGAUGUGUUAACAUUAAGUUAUGAUGAUUUGCCUCCCUAUCUAAGACCAUGUUUCCUCUAUCUAAGCCAUUUUCCGGAGGAUUAUAUGAUAGAUGUGGAUAGAUUGAUUCGAUUAUGGGUUGCUGAAGGUAUUGUGUCAUCAAAGCAAGAAGAAAGAGAUGAUGGGGAAAUUGCGGAAGAUGUGGCGGAAUCUUAUUUAAUGGAGCUUGUGGAAAGGUGCAUGAUUCAAGUACGAGAAAGAGAUGUGGCAACCUUAAAGGUCAAAACAAUUCAGAUGCAUGAUCUGAUGAGAGAUCUUUGCUUAUCAAAGGCAAAACAAGAAAAUUUUGUCUUCAUUGUUGAUCAAUCAAAUGCAUCUUCAUUAUCUAUGAUUCGGAACGUUCGAAGGGUUUCUGUGCAUGAGUUUUUUUCAUACAAUGCAUUAAAAGUCCAAAUAUUCGGUCACUUUUGUUCUUCAAUGAGUUUUUUCCGGAGGAGGCAUUAGAAAAAUCUUUGCCCUUGGAAGUGUUGAAUUACGUUGAAGAACAUGAAGAUGAAGUUUGUAAUCCACUUGUUUGGAUUCUUAUGAUUUCGCGAACUGGUACGAGCUUUCUUAAAGCUCGGGGAAUUUGGAGAUACAUGUUCAACAACUUCAAAUUGCUAAGAGCCCUAAACUAUGAGAGAACAACAUGUGAUCGUUUUGUAGGGUUUAAGUUACCCAGUGAUAUAGGUAAUCUCAUCCAUUUAAGAUUCUUGAGUCUAAAGGAUCUUGAGUUCACAUGGCCAAAGUUGCCAUCAUCUCUAGGCAACUUAAGGUGCUUGCAAACCUUGGAUUUAAGAGUUGAUAGUUACAAAAUUCAUGUACCUAAUGUGAUAUGGAGGAUGGAGCAACUAAGACAUUUAUAUCUCCCUUGGAGAUGUAAAAGCAGAACUAAGUUGAAGUUGGGUACUUUGAGAAAACUCCUAACACUUGUGAACUUCAACACCAAGAAUUGUUAUCUGAAGGAUCUUAUCAACAUGACAAAUCUUAGAGAGUUGGGGAUAAAUUUACCCUUCAAUUUUGAAAAUUUCAAUGAGAAGGAGUUGGGCGAGAAUCCAUUCAUAAUCGGAAGCAAAUAUCUUCAUUCCUUGUCUAUUAUUACCCGUAGGCUAAAGAUAUCAAUAGAUCCAAGACAUUUGGCCCACCUCCUUUCAACUUGUACAAGUAUUUGCAAGUUGAGUAUAGCAGCAGAGAUAAGUAAGUUACCAGAGUAUCACUACUUCUCUUCACAUCUCACUUACAUACGGUUGAGAUGGUGCAAGUUUGAGGAAGAUCCAAUGCCAACACUAGAGAAGCUGCCUAACUUAAGGAUUCUUGAAUUCGAAUGUUCUUUGAAAGGAAAGUAAAUGUUUUGCUCUGCUCAGGGUUUUCCUAAACUUGAGUCUCUAAUCCUUGCGGAGGUCGACAAUUUGGAGGAAUGGGAGGUGGAUGACGGAGCCAUGCCUUCUCUUCAGCGAUUGGAUAUCAGGCAUUGCCCAAGCUUGAAGAUGCUUCCAGAGGGAUUGAGCUCCAUUACAACCCUCAAAGAACUGAAGAUUGAAUCAAUGCCAAAGGCAUUCAAAGAAAGAUUGGAGAAAGGAGGAGAAGAUUUCUACAUAGUCAAAGAUGUUCCUUCUAUCAUACUCCAAUACUGUGGCUAAUAAAUUGAAUGAUAAUUGAGAGGUAAUUUCAUAACCUCUAGUUUAGGAAAUGAUUCCUACUUUCUUUGCUUCUUAUAUAUCUUCCGUUUUUGACAAUGUCUCACAUUCUCACUCAAUUUGUCAACACACCAAUGAAUAAUUACAUUUAUUAAAAGUCAAAGGAAGUCAUCUUUUUAGUUUUGCUUUUCAGGUAAAGACGCCAUUUUUUCACCUACUACUAUAAUGGCGUGUGAAAGUGUGUUAUAUGGUGAGAUUUGGAAUUAUCUUCUCUCUUGUAUAUAUUGUUGGAACAUUUUCAAAUAUUUAUAGUAUCCCAAUAACUAUAAAUGAAUGGGUGUAAUUAAUCAAAAGAUAAAUCUUUUGGUCAUUGGUCAAAAGUUAUAUCAUUUGAUUUUUUAAAAAAGAAUUAUAAUUAUUCAAAAAAUAUUAUUUGAAUAGUUACAAAAUUAAAGGAAUAAUUAUUAUUAUUUAUUUAUUCAUAAAGACACCUAUUGAAAGAUGUCUCUAUGAAGAGACAUGAAAAUUCCUAUAAAUAGGAAUGGGAUUUCAUUUGGAAAUCAUAUCAACAAAUUCUAAUAUUAUUUCUUCUCUUCCUUCAUUUUCUAAUAUUAUUAGAUUAUUCUAUAAAGUAUUCCUGCAGAAAUUCUUUGUAGAAAUUGAGUUUUUGUUACACAUUACUCAGUGCAUAGUGGACUAUUCUCGUCAGUGCAAAACACAAAUAGUCAUUGGCUUCAUUGUAUCCUCGAGGUUAAUUUGCUUGGAACUCAUUUGCACACUGAAGAUAAGUGGGGGCGAAUAUAACCUUAAUGAUAGUGGCUUGAUACACGCCUUGGAGCCUUGUCCUAUUUCUUCUUUUUCUUUUCGAGUUCCGAUCGUGUGUUCGAGAUUUUCCUUACCGGAGUUUUGUAAUAACAUAUAUCUAUGGUUGUUGACUGUUUGUUGUUUUCUUCAAAGUACAAUAAAACGGUUGCAAGAUAAGGUAUUGGAAGAAUGGGAGGUGUCUGGAUUAGCAAGGUACCAAAUAAGGAGACGUCAUAAAACAUAACAUUGCAGAUAAGGAGACAUCACUGACCUUUGUUCCCACAUAGCUUUGGUUUGCGGUGACCAUUCCUAUAUUUAUUUGUUAGCUUUGCUUUCUCUUUCUUUUUUUUCCCUUAAGUCUGCUUGAGUCUUUUUCUUUUUUUAUAUGUACUUAAUGUAAUAGUAGAAGCCAAGGCAGGACCAUGCUUUUCUAUUGUAAAAUUCAUCACUUCGUUAUUUUAUAUUUGUAUGUUGACACAUUUCCCGUUUCAACAUAUUUCCUUAUUUUAUGCAAGUCGAUUGGUAUUCAUCAUAAAAAUUACGAUAUCAUAUCAAGUUUAAUGGUUACACUUCCAAAACAAAAAAUAGGAAAAAUUAAAUCUUACCAACUAAUAACACUUUCAAAUUACACUGUCUUACAAAAAAAAAAAAAAAAAAGAAGAAGAUACAAUUUGAAUUUUUUUAUCAAAUGGUUUAGCAAGCUAUGCUUUAUAAAAGAGGCAAAGGAAUCCAAGGGAAUCAAAGAUUCCAAAAUCGAUAUUUAGAUUCAAGAUUUUGUAUCCCCAUGCUUUGCUUCUUAUAUCUACCAACAAUAUCUUGAUGAUAACAAACUAAAAAAAACUAUUCAAGGGAAUCGAAGAUUUCAAAUCCAACAUAAUUGAUUGAAAAUUUCACAUCCACUUAAUUAAUUCAAAUGAUAUUUAGUCAAUAAGUUUAAAUUAAAAACUGCAAGAAUCUUCAUUUAUCUUUUAUUCGAAAUGUAAUUCGGAUUCAAUGAAAAUAUUGAACAUAUAAUGUGUGCACAUGGAAAUGUCCAAAUCUUUAAAUAUAGGGUCGACAUGGGAGAAAUCUCCUCAGACAUUGAAUUUAUUGAGUGCAUUUUCAGAGGAAAAUCCUGAAACAUGUUACAGGCAAAUAUUAAGAAAAACAAUGCACAAGCAUAAGUACAAAAACAUAGCAUGCAAGAAAUCAAUACUUGAAAGGAUUAAAAUCACUGCUAACCUAAGACAUUGAAUCUAGCACCACUAGGAAACAUCCGAAAUGAUACUUGUCUUUCAAUGUUGAGAUACAUACGUCCAAGUCUGCCAUGUUGCGCCAAACUGGAAUUCAUCAACCUNNNNNNNNNNNNNNNNNNNNNNNNNNNNNNNNNNNNNNNNNNNNNNNNNNNNNNNNNNNNNNNNNNNNNNNNNNNNNNNNNNNNNNNNNNNNNNNNNNNNUUAUAUAUAUAUAUAUAUAUAUAUAUACAGACACACACACAGAUAGACAUGAAGAAAGUGGGUUAAUGGUGUAUUAUUUAAGUAAAGAAAAAGUUGAAAUCUUAAACCUCUAAAUAUUGGGUAACAGCUAGUGUUAAAAGUGCAUAAAGUUCUUCUAUUAUCUACAAGAAACAAUGGAGGAAUCACAUACAUUGUUUAUAUUCACUUUUCUUGCUACACAAGCAAGCUGAGUCCAUAAACAAAGGCAUACCUUUUCUCCGUUUUUAAAUGGUUUUCUUGUUUCUUGGCUGCUUUUUAUAUUAAGAAGAGAGAUUGUGAGACCUCGUCAUCCUCAAGGAGUAAGUGGUCCAGCAUGAAGAUGAUGGGAAGACCAUGAGUCGAUGGUGGUCAAUCCAUGAGUUGAUUAUGAGUAGUUUCAUGUUAUGAAAUAAAAAUGUUAGCUAAAGUUAGUUGAACGCUGUGUUUUAGGGUUGAGGGUUUAAUGAAACUAUCAGUUUUGAUGUUGAAUGAAAAUGGUGCGUAUUGACGGUUUGUUACAACUGCUCGAGGAACAGCCCUAUAACAGACUUUGUAACUGCCAAUUCUCAGCCAUAAUAGAAACUGGCAUGGGAAAUGGGCAGAUAUGCCAUUUUGUGAAGGAAAUCAAUUCUUUCUUCUUCCUUGAUUCUCUUUCUCUUCUCUCUUUUUCUUUCUUCCUCUAUUCUGUUGAAAUUAUGCAUCACUUCACCAGUAUUCAUCAUUGUGGACGUAUCUGAUCUUCAGUCUCUGGUUUACUGCCCAUGUAAAGUUAUGGAAAGAAAUGCAAAUUUAAAAGGAUUUCUUGCUAUAGUCUAUGCAAUUUCAUGUGUGCGUGAAAGGAGAUGAAGAUUAAUAGAGUAAUACUGAUAUACCAACAAUUCAUUAAUUGAAGUACUAUCAAUAUUAUCAACAAGUAACAGGAUUAAGUGAGUAUACUAAUAUAGUCUAGAAAAGCAAUUUAAUUAAUAAUACCAUAGGGAUGGCAAGAGGGUGAAGUUGCUAUUGCUAUUUAUAUCUCAGCUGCUAGCUUUUGACGACUUCACCAAGUAAACUGCAAUCACAAGUGUUGUUCUUAUUACCUGCAAAAACAGAGCCAACAAUCUGAAUCCAUAUCCCCAUUUUAGGAACAANNNNNNNNNNNNNNNNNNNNNNNNNNNNNNNNNNNNNNNNNNNNNNNNNNNNNNNNNNNNNNNNNNNNNNNNNNNNNNNNNNNNNNNNNNNNNNNNNNNNCCGUAUCUGACACUUAUAUUCAACACAUAUUCAUGUAUUGGUAUGAAGAUAUGAUAUUCUUAUCCUAUACUCAUAUCCGUGCUCAGGUAACAUAAACUGAACCCGCAAGAUAACUGAUUUAACAUUGCAUUGCUGCUAGCUAUUGAUGAUUUCACCAAGUAAACUGCAAUCACAAGUGUUGUUCUUAUUCCUUGAAAAAACACAGUCAACAAUCUGAAUCCACAUUCCCAUUUUCGGAACAAAACCAUGGCGUACCAUUUGUUUCAAAGCCCAAUCAACUUCCUUUACCAUCUUCCCCUUAUAAAAACCAUGAAUCAACUUCUUGUAUGAAUCAAAACUAGGAUUAACCCUCUCGAAAACCAUUCUCCCCAUAAUCUCCUUUGCUUCCAUAAACCUCGCAGCAUCAAGCAAACCAUACAACACCUCUUGAUAAGACCCUGCAUUGGGAUAACACCCUUUCUUUUUCAUAAUUUCCAACAGCUUCACACCUUCAUCAAUCCUACCUUGUUUCCUAAGACCUGAAAUCAAGAUAUUAAAGCUAACAGCAUCAGCAUCGAUUCCUUCCGUUUCCAUCCUCCCCAUCAACUCAAAAGCUUCAUCAACCUUCCCCUUAUCGCACAACCCGUGCAUUAAAGUAGAAUAAGUUCUAACAUUAGGCUUACACCUUUGUUUAGGAAAUUCAUCGAGCAGUUGGAAUGCAAACUCUAAUUUCCCAUUUUCACACAACCCUUUAAUGAGAAUAUUCAGAGUACAAGCUUCGAUUUCAACACCCAAAUUGGGAGGUAAACCUCGUGAACAACAUCAAAUAGUUUGUUCGAUACGAGUAAGCUCAAUACGAUAUUGAAGGUUUUAACACUAGGCCAAGUCCCAUAUUCUGGCAUACUAAAAAGGAUCUCGAUUGCCCUUUUGAUUCGANNNNNNNNNNNNNNNNNNNNNNNNNNNNNNNNNNNNNNNNNNNNNNNNNNNNNNNNNNNNNNNNNNNNNNNNNNNNNNNNNNNNNNNNNNNNNNNNNNNNNNNNNNNNNNNNNNNNNNNNNNNNNNNNNNNNNNNNNNNNNNNNNNNNNNNNNNNNNNNNNNNNNNNNNNNNNNNNNNNNNNNNNNNNNNNNNNNNNNNNNNNNNNNNNNNNNNNNNNNNNNNNNNNNNNNNNNNNNNNNNNNNNNNNNNNNNNNNNCAGCCAGUCUUUGUGGGUUAGUUUGAAAAGGGCAGGGGAAGUGGAGUGGGUUGGUUGAUGGUAGCUGGAAAAUGAGGAGAAAAACGAAAGGGGUUUAAGAGAUGAGAUUUUAGUGGCGAUUGGAUGGUGAAAAAGUGAGGGAAAAUUUUGGGGGUAAGAGCUUUUGACAGAAGAAAGAAGGGAACGUGAAAUCAUGCGUUUGGCCAUUGGAGAAUGUAGAAACUGGAGAGCUAAAAGCUUUGUGCUAUUCGCACUAUAAACAUAUAUAGGGUAAGGGACAGGCUUAAUACUUGUUUUGUCCCCUGUAAUAUAGUAAAAAAUCUCAUUUUGACCCUUUUCCUUUACUUUGUCUGUUUACUUUCAUUUCGUCCAUCAUGUUAGUCUAUUGAUCAUUUCCGUAAAUCCCAUGUGUUAGGGUUCCUAUAUUAUAGUAUUCAUCCAUAUACUUUAACCCUCCACGUAGUCGCAAUCAAUUGGCUUAAAUGAUCACACACGAGGAUCACUAUAGUAUAAGGACCAAAGUGAGAAUUUUAUUAUUAAUUAAGUGACAAAUACGUAAACAUGCACUAAUUUUUUUAUACAGAAAUGGUCAAAGAAUUAAAGUGAUAGAUGAAAUGAAAGUAAAGGGCGCAAAGUGAUUGGAAAAUUAGUAAAAGGUUGGAAAAUAUGAAGAGAUUGUAUGAUGCAAAACUUAAAUAAUUUAUCUACUGCAAUUUUGAGGUGUAUUAAUUUGAAGUAAUGAAUCAUUGUUAUUUACAACUAUAUAUUAUAUCUCUUUGAAAUGUACAAAUAAAUUAAUGGGCAGAAUGUUUAUGAAUGUCAAAACUUUAUUUUUGCUUCUUCUUCCCUUCAAGAAUUGGUUGGAUUUGGAGAUGCCAAUUGAAAGCCUGGUUCAAAAGGAAUCGAGUUUGGAAUGCCGAAAUGAUCGGAAGCCAUGCCAAUAUAGCAAUUGGAGAGAAAAGGAUCGAUCCCAUUCCGUAAUCAUAUGCCUUAGCUAGUACCUCAGUGAACUGCCAGAGUCCGGUGUUCUCAAUAAUUGGCCUCACAGCUUGAGCAACCUGAAGGGAACUAAAAUGUCAGAGGGAAUAAGGCAAAAGAUGUAAACUCUAGACAAAAACUAUAUGCCGAUCCUCUAAAUAUAUGAACAAAUUUAAAAAAAAAAAUUGGCCAUGCCCGUAUUUGAUACUUAUUGUUGAAUUCGAGUAACAUAGUCAACUAGACAUACCAAAAUCAGACCCCAUCCAGUCAGCAGAAAUGCAAGACAGCAGACAAGUAAAUCCUUGAACGACAGUUCACAGAUGACUGAGAGACUAAUAACAAUGGCCAAAAUCCUUUACAAUUGUUUGAUUCCUCAGUCAUAUUGCCUUGGAAUCUUCGGAAGUCAAGACAAGUCUAGCUCAUCAGCUUUGCCAUUCAUCUUGAAACUCCAAGCCAAUAUGUCGUGCGUGAACCCAGGCUAUAUAAACAAUGCAAAUAAAAUAUAUGAAAUCACGGUGUACUGUAAGUAUAGAGAUUAAAUUGUAAUAUAGUUUUAGAUUUAUAAUGAAAUACAAAAAUAUUUCAAAAAUCGUACUCAAAGAAAGUAUGAACUAAAAUUGAAUUAAACAUUAACAAAGAAUAUGCAAAACUAAGUCUAAAUAGCUACUUCCUUAAUUAUGAUAGUAUGAUUAAACAUAAAUUGAAAGUAUAAAACUGGUAGACAAAUCAAUGAGAAAUGACAAACAAUAGUUCAUUAAUAUCCAUGAUUGUAAUUAAUCUAGACUUAUUCUACCAAAUAAUCAAUUUAGUCCUCUUAUCUUUCGAGCUGAUGGAUCUAAAUGGGACAACUGAAUCAGUUCUAGAUAAAAUCUCCUUUCAAUCUCAUCUACUUAAAUUUUCAUCUAGAGUCAUCAAUUUGAUCCAAUUAAUCAACUCAAAGCCUAGAAUUAAAUUAACUAUUCUCACUUCAAUUAACCAACUUUCUCAAAAAUUUAGUUAAGACCCAUUCUAAUGAUACUAGACCCACUUAAUUCGUAAACCAUGAAUAAAGUUAAUGAUACGAAAGAAUAGAGUUGAGAGAUGCGCAAUAAUCCAAAAAUUUCUGAUUGUGGAUAUCUUCUUUGAGUAGCAACUGAAAUUCUCAUAACGAAAGCGUGAAAUGAAAAAAUAAAUAUAUUUUUAUUAAAAUGAGUAUGAAGCGAGUGAAAUGAAAAAGAAAGGAAAACGGAUAAGGCUCCGAUUAAAGUUACUUUAAACAAGUAAAUAUAUUUUAUUCAAAUUUAUAGUUUAUUAUAUUUAUCUGUAAUCCUCACUUUAAAAAAGCAUUCCAAAUAUGCUUCCUCACUAGAGGUAAUAAUGGGUUGGACGGCCCGGCCUGACGGCCCACCCGAAAUAUGGGAGGAUUUGGGUAAAAAUAUAAGCCCGAAAUAUGGGUUUGGGUAAAAAAUGAGACCCGUUUAGAAAACGGGCUGGGCCUUAGGCAAAAAGUUUUUGGCCUGGGCCGAGCCUGGACAAAAUUUUAGUCCCAUAUUUUGGGCCGGGGUAGGCCCAGGGAUAGGACGUAGGCUGAAAAUUUUUUUUGGGCCUUGCCCGAACCCAGCCCGGCUCGGCCCAUGAUCACCUCUGUUCCUCACCUUAUCAUUUUUGCUUUUUUUCAAGUGCCAUUAUAAUUUUUGUUAAUCUUUCUUUUCCCUUAAUUAAAGCUUGAUGACUUAUAUUAUAUAUAUCCAUUUUAAAGAAAAUGUCACUAAAUUAUUGCUUUCGUUCUGUUUUGGUUAUUAAAUUAUUAAUUUUUUCGAUUUCGUUACUAAAUUUUUCGAAAUUAAUUAUUUUGAUCACUUUCUCGUUAAUUGUCAUUAGAUAAGUGAGGAAAAGCUAACACAAGUUUAUUUUAUUGUUCAAAGUAAUCCCUAUAUAUUAAAUAAAAAUUCAAUUUAAUUAUUGAAUUAAACUAAAAAUUCAAAUAAACUCAUAAUAUUACAACUUUUUUAUUAUAUAUAAUAUUUCCAAAUAAUAAAUUUAAAUUUAUUAUGAUUAUCAAACUUUUGUUUCAAUAUACCUACUAUAGUAUAUUUUCACUUUUUAAAUUGAUUAUAAUUAUUUUUUAAAUGUUAAUUUAAUAAUACGAUAAAAAAAUAAAUGAUAUUUUUAUCGAUUUAAUUUUUUUAAACUUAUGCUUUUAUAGAUAUUAUAGAUGGAUUAUAGAUUAUAGGAAUAGGGUCUAAUGGCUAAAAAGAAAAAUUAUGUACCGGCUAUGUGAAGGCAUUAUACAAUGGAUCAUCAAAGUAGAAAGAUUAGUAUUAGAUAAAGUGAAAGUGAGUGUCCUCCACUCAUUUUACUUUUAAAAAAAAAAAUUUAAACAAAAAAGACUUUACUUUUGUUCUACGAACCUUUCUGUUUGUAGGAUUUCUGCACUCACAUCUUGAAAUCCAAAUUCAAGAUUUUAAAGAAAUUUCUGAGCUUACUCACUAUUAUGGCUUGGUCUGCUGUGACAUCUGCAGUGACAACAAUUGGCAACCUACUAACUCAGGAAGCCAUAUACCUAUGGGGUGUGGAGGAGCAAGUUAUGGAUGCAAAGCUCCUUAAUGGAGGCAGAGACAAAACAAUCAAAGGAUGAGAGGAUUCGUCUGUGGCUUGCUGAAAUCAGAGAGCUUGCUUAUGAUGCUGAGGAUAUUGUUGAGGAAUUUGCUCUCAAGAUUGGAUCCAAAAACAAAGGUGGCCUUCCGAGUUGUAUUAAAAGAUCAGCCUGCUGUUUGAAAGAGGGAUGGGUGCUCCAUGAAACCAGGUCAAAGAUCGAGAAAAUCAUAGAAAGAAUCAACGACUUGGUCCGGCGACUACAGGCCUACGGAGUAAAGGAAUUAAAGGACAGAGGAGAAGAAUCAAGUUUUUCAACUGAAAGACGAGAAUCAAGGCGGCCUUAUCCACAUAUUAUGGAUGAUAAUAUUGUUGGACUAGUUGAUGAUACCGAGGGAUNNNNNNNNNNNNNNNNNNNNNNNNNNNNNNNNNNNNNNNNNNNNNNNNNNNNNNNNNNNNNNNNNNNNNNNNNNNNNNNNNNNNNNNNNNNNNNNNNNNNNNNNNNNNNNNNNNNNNNNNNNNNNNNNNNNNNNNNNNNNNNNNNNNNNNNNNNNNNNNNNNNNNNNNNNNNNNNNNNNNNNNNNNNNNNNNNNNNNNNNNNNNNNNNNNNNNNNNNNNNNNNNNNNNNNNNNNNNNNNNNNNNNNNNNNNNNNNNNNNNNNNNNNNNNNNNNNNNNNNNNNNNNUUGAUGAUGUUUGGACCAGUGAAGCUUGGGAUAGUCUAAAACCUGCCUUUCCAGUUGCAACGGGCCGUGAUAGCAAUAGCAAGAUAUUGCUCACCUCUAGAAACAAGGGGAUAGUUUCAGAUGCUGAGAUAAGAGGUAAAAUUUUCUUAAUUAGGUAAAAUUGAAUACUCUUAUUCCUUUGAUGGAAAAUAACCAUGUAUAUUAUUUCAGAGUUGAAGUGCCUAAACGAUGAAGAAAGUUGGGAAUUGUUUCAAAAGAUUGUAUUUCCUCAAACAGGUAAAUAUACGUAUAGCAAAAUUCUUGUUAUAUGCUAAAUUUAUUUUUCAUUUAAAAUUUUUUUUUGGUGAAAGUAAGGACCUUAUCUUUGAUAUGCCUCAAAGUUAAUGUUUUCGAAAGCCCCCACAAAGAAGGGACACCCAAGUAGGCGUCCGAAUUAUUUGCCACCUCUAAGUUAGUCUCUUCUUGAAUCAACCUUUCGUUGUCCCUUUGGGAGUAUUCACACUAAAAACGUUGCUUGAUUUAUCAUAGUUGACCCUUCGUCCAGAAGCUGCACAAUAUUCUUGAAUCAAGUUAAUCAUUCUCCUACAAUUUAACGAACUAGCUUCCAAAAAGAAUAGAAAUCGUUCGUGAAUAACAAAUGUGACACUACUGGAUAAUGACUACUAAGGCUAAUCCCAGAAAUAAAACUAGACUCGACUCUAAUAAUAAUCACUACCCCUAGAACUCCUUUCAAUAUAUUCACCAUGAUCUUCGAUAUGAUUUAAUACUUAAAAUUACAAGGACUAAUUGACCUAAAUUAUGUCAUUAAUUCAAGACAUUUAGUUUUCAGAAUUAAAAUUAUUUCAAUCUCGUUCAAAAAUUUCCCUUCCCUUAAUAGCUUCCAAAACAUCCUUUUUAAUAAUUUCCCAAUAAUUAUUAUAGAAAAUCCCGUUAAAAUCAUUUGCAAAAAAAGAGAUUAAUUUAAUUGUUUUGUAUGCUUAACUUGUACAAUAUAAGUAAAAUCUUAUAAUUUUAUCUCCAAAUUCUCUCAACACAAUUUUCUGACCCUUAUUUAUAAUCUCAUUUGCAUCACACAGGAUAUCCAAUUUAAAAUUAAAUAAUUUUUUUUAUAUAAUUCUUUAAAUAUUAAAAGUAUUUUCCUCUAUUAUUUUUUUUUGUUGGAGUAUUAAAUAUUAGCCUUGAAACCAUAAGGCAGGAACUAUUCCAAACAACCCUUAAAAAGAUAUGUAAAUUUUGUUUUUGAAUAUCAUUUUUACUUUUUUAGAUUUCAAAUUGGAUAAUGAACUAUAUAUUUAUUCAUUCGAAACUCCUCUUAAAUUAGUGAGAGUGAAGUUUCUUAUUUAGUAUUGAUUGUUCCAUAAAAUUUUCAAAGUUUUCAAAGUUUUCAAAUAGAUUUAUUUUUUCAAGUGUAGUUAAUAACCGCAAUAAAAAUUAAACUUUAUAAGUGAUAAAUUUAUAUUAAAAAUUGUUUGAUAUAUUCAUAAAAUAUAAGUUUGAGUUCAUCUACUUUUACAUUUCUUUUACCUAUUUAAAUUAUUUCUUAAUUUUCCUUAUUUUUUAAAAAUUUAUUCUUAAUUUUUUAUAUAGGAAAUAUAAUCGACGUGGAAAUGAAAAAGUUAGGAGAGAACAUGGUUAAACAUUGUGCAGGGCUUCCAUUAGCCAUUGUUGUGUUGGGAGGAAUUUUGGCUACAAAGAAUAAUUCAUUAAACGAAUGGCAAAAGAUAUCUGACAAUGUAAAAUCAUACUUGAAGAGAGGCAAAAAUCAAGGACCAAAGGAUGUGUUAGCAUUAAGUUAUGAUGAUUUGCCUCCUUAUCUAAGACCAUGUUUCCUCUAUCUAAGCCAUUUUCCGGAGGAUUAUAUGAUAGAUAUGGAUAGAUUGAUUCAAUUAUGGGUUGCUGAAGGUAUUGUGUCAUCAAAGCAAGAAGAAAGAGACGGUGGGGAAAUUGCGGAAGAUGUGGCGGAAUCUUAUUUAAUGGAGCUUGUGGAAAGGUGCAUGAUUCAAGUACGAGAAAGAGAUGUGGCAACCUUAAAGGUCAAAACAAUUCAGAUGCAUGAUCUGAUGAGAGAUCUUUGCUUAUCAAAGGCAAAACAAGAAAAUUUUGUCUUCAUUGUCGAUCAAUCAAAUGCAUCUUCAUUAUCUAUGAUUCGGAAGGUUCGUAGGGUUUCUGUGCAUGAGUUUUUUUUCAUACAAUGCAUUAAAAGUCCAAAUAUUCGGUCAGUUUUGUUCUUCGAUGAGUUCUUUCCGGAGGAGGCAUUAGAAAAAUCUUUGCCCUUGGAAGUGUUGAAUUACGUUGAAGAACAUGUAGAUGAAGUUCGUAAUCCACUUGUUUGGAUUCUUAUGAUUUCGCUAGGUUGUACGAGACUUCUUAAAGCUCGGGGAAUUUGGAGAUACAUGUUCAACAACUUCAAAUUGCUAAGAGCCCUAAACUAUGAGAGAACAGGAGGUUAUCCUUUUGUAGGGUUUAAGUUACCCAGAGAUAUAGGAAAUCUCGUCCAUUUAAGAUUCUUGAGUCUAAAGGAUCAUGAGUUCUUAUGGCCAAAGUUGCCAUCAUCUCUACGCAACUUAAGGUGCUUGCAAACCUUGGAUUUAAGAGUUGGUUGUGGCAUAAUUCAUUUACCUAAUGUGAUAUGGAGGAUGGAGCAACUAAGACAUUUAUAUCUCCCUUUAAGAUGUAAAAGCAGUACUAAGUUGAAGUUGGGUACUUUGAGAAAACUCCUAACACUUGUGAACUCAACACCAAGAAUUGUUAUCUGAAGGAACUUAUGAACAUGACAAAUCUUAGAGAGUUGGAAAUAAAUUCGCCCUUCAAUAUUGAAAAUUUCAAUGAGACGGAGUUGGGCGAGAAUCCACCCAUAAUCGGAAGUAAAUGUCUUCAUUCCUUGUCUAUUAUUACCUCUGGGGACGAAUCAAUAGAUCCAAAACAUUUGGCCCAUCUCCUUUCAAAUUGUACAAGUAUUUGCAAGUUGAGUAUAGAAACAAGGAUAAGCGAGUUACCAGAGUAUCACUACUUCUCUUCACAUCUCGCUUAUAUAGGGUUGAGAUGGUGCAAGCUUGAGAAAGAUCCAAUGCCAACACUAGAGAAGCUGCCUAACUUAAGGAUUCUUGAACUCGAAAGUUAUUUCGAAGGAAAGGAAAUGUUUUGCUCUGCUCAUGGUUUUCCUAAACUUGAGUCUCUAAUCCUUACUGAGGUCAACAAUUUGGAGGAGUGGAAGGUGGAUGAAGGAGCCAUGCCUUCUCUUCAGCGAUUGGAGAUCAAGGGUUGCCUAGGAUUGAAGAUGCUUCCAGAGGGAUUGAGGUUCAUUACAACCCUCAAAGAACUGAAGAUUGAAUCAAUGCCAAAGGCAUUCAAAGAUAGAUUGGAGGAGGAAGGAGGAGAAGAUUUCUACAAAGUCAAACUUGUUUCUUCUAUCAUAUUCCAAAACUGUGGCUAAUAGAUUGAAGGAUAAUUGAGGGGUAAUUUCAUAACCUCUAGAUUAGGAAAUGAUUCCUACUUUCUUUGCUUCUUAUAUAUCUUCCAUUUUUGACAAUGUCUCACCUUCUCACUCCAUUUGUCUACACACGAAUGAAUAAUUAGAUUUAUUAAAAGUUAAAGGAAGUCGGACAUUGAUAUUUUUAGUUUUGCUUUUCAGGUAAAGAAGCCAUUUUUUCACCUGCUACUGCUAUUUACGGGAUCAAGUCUAGAUUUAAAACUCCUAUUAUAAGUUGCGUGUGAAAGUGUGUUAUAUGGUGAGGUUUGGAAUUAUCUUCUCUGUUGCAUAUAUCUAUGGUUGUUGACAUCAGACUGGUUGACUGUUUGUUGUUUUCUUCAAAUUACAAUAAAACGGUUGCAAGAUAAGGUAUGGGAAGAAUGGGAGGUGUCUGGAUUAGCAAGGUACCAAACCCCUCCUCCAUUUUAAUUUCCUUCAAUCUAAUUUAAUUACACAUUCAUUUUUGUCUUUUCAAACAUAAAAUUGCAGAUAAGGAGACGUCACUGACCUUUGCUCCGACAUAGCUUUGGUUUGCGUUGACCGUUCCUAUAUUUAUUUGUUAGCUUUGCUUUCUCUUUCUAUUUUUUCCCUACUUAAGUCUGCUUGAGUCUCCCUUUUUUUAUAUGUACUUUACCUAAUAUUAGAAGCCAAGGCAGGACCGUGCUUUUCUAUUGUAAAAUUCAUCACUUCGUUUGUCAAUGUUCAUUUCUACUCUUCAGUUUACUUAAAUAUAAUUGUUUGAUAUAUAUUUGAAUAUGAAGAAUAUAAUCUUUUUAAGAUAUACAUAUUUUAGAAAAAAUUGAAUAUAUGUAUGUCGGACACAUUUCCCGUUUCAACAUAUUUCCUUAUUUUAUGCAAGUCGAUUGGUAUUCAACAUACUCUUUUCCGUCAUCCUUAACUCAAUAAUCUUUGUUACGAUAUCAUAUCAGGUUUAAUAGUGGCAGUUCAUCCCCACACUUCCAAAGCCAAAAAUAGGAAAAAAAUUAAAUGUUACCAACUAAUAACACUUUCAAAUUACAUUGUCUUACAAAAAAAAAAAGAUACAAUUUGAAUUUUAGCAAGCUAUGCUUUAUAAAAGGCAAAGGAAUCUAAGGGAAUCUUUCAUUCAAGAUUUUGUAUCCUCAUGCCUUGCUUCUUAUAUCUACCAACAAUAUCUUUGUGAUAAUAAACUAAAAAAAAAACUGCAAAUCCAACUUAAUCGAUUGGAAAUUUCACAUCCACUUAAUUAUUUCAAAUGAUAUUUAUUCAAUAAGUUUAAAUUAAAAACUGUAAGAAUUUUCAUUUAUCUUUUAUUCAAAAUGUAAAUCGGAUUCAAUGAAAAUAUUGAACAUAUAAUGUGUGCACAUGGAAAUGUCCAAAUCGUUAAAUAUAGGGUCGACAUGAGAGAAAUCUCCUAAUGCCCAACGUUAAAUAUUUAUAAAAUUCAAUAUGAUCCUAUUAUUUUCGUUAUAAAACUCAAUAUCUUAUUCGGAUUAGGAUACAAGCGAAUAACAGAUAACUAUUUGUCGUUCAAGGUAUGAUAAAAUCUCAGUAGCUAAGAUAUGAAUGUUGCAAAAUACCAUACAAAAUCACAGCCACAUUUGUUAGUAUGGCUAUUUUGGGUAAUCAAAGGAAAAAAAUGUUAGCUGUUGAGCAAACAAGGUGAACAGAUUAGAUAUUCCAAUUACGUUCAAGCACUUGACAAAUCCUUUCUGCAAUGGCUUCAGCACGCAUCCUAGGACCUUCAUCAUCUGCAAAAAUCGACCAUUUCUAACAACUAAGCUAACAUCACACAUGAUAAUAUAUGUAUAUAACAUAUAUAGAUGAUGAUUAUGUGGAUUAAAAGCUAUGUUAGUUUGACUCAAUACAUGACCAUGGGACAUGCACGAUUCUUCAAUAACGANNNNNNNNNNNNNNNNNNNNNNNNNNNNNNNNNNNNNNNNNNNNNNNNNNNNNNNNNNNNNNNNNNNNNNNNNNNNNNNNNNNNNNNNNNNNNNNNNNNNUUAAAUACAUCAAUAUCUAACAUUUACAUCUGAGUUCGAGUAAAGUAAAACAUGUCAUUCUACCUAAACAUGCAAAAUAUCCAAGACUCUUGACGAAUGUUAGAUACAAAUAUGUAGAAUGUACCCAAAAUACCCAUCUCGAACUCAGUAGAGAAAUAUCUAGCACUCAAAAGGCACUAGCUUCAACCAAGAACAAGGAAGUUUCUUCAAAGGCUUGAUAUACUUUCUUCACGGCCAUAUAUAUGUGUGCAUAUACCCAUAUUAAGGACGAUUGUUUUGGCAAAGAGGAUGAGAAGAUAGAAAGAAAACCUUUAAUCCAAUGACAAUAUUUGAUUAUAACAACAUGACACAUAUAAUUGUGAUUAAAAUUGUGGUCACAAACAUGUUUGCAAUCACAUCAUGUUAACGAAUACUAUCGCAAUCAAUUGCAAUAAAUAUCCACAACAAGAAGAGCGAAAAUCCUAAAAACAACAAAGAUAAUACAUUACAGCUGUUAAAGAAUUUUCAAUAACAUAUAUACCUGCAAGAUUUUCAGUGAUGACACAACAAAGUUCACCACCAGACAACUUCCCGAUCUAAUGAAAUUUUCAAACAUAUCAUAAGUUUCAAGAUCAACUGAAACAUGCGAAUACUGUUGGUGUUAAGAGGUAACAGCAAGCUGAUUUGAGCUUGCUUAUACAGCAAGGCUCGAGGCUUGCAGAAGAAACAAUUGAAGAAAGAAACAGAAAAUGAAGCUUGCGAAUGGAAAACAGAAAAGAAAGAAAAAGUUUGAAUGAAAACAAGCUAAAAUUUUCAUUAAUUGUCAAAGAGGCAUAAUGCCAUUAUAUAUAUGAGUUAACAAUCACAAAAUAAACAAGUUACUACCUAAACUUAGACCUAACACCAUUAAUUUACAUUGAACUUGUUAAAUUUGCUUGAGUACAUAAACAAGUCACCUAAACUUGUCAUUCAGCACCUAAUUACAUCAAAAUGCAGCUACCAACUAAGUUUUAUUCAAACUAGAAUACAAAACAUUCAUUAAAGAAACUAAAUGAAACAAAAUAACUUCAGUUUGCUGCUUGAAGCACGUUCUCUGCAUGGCCACCUUGGCUGCUGCAUGGGGGCUGACUUCAACACUCUUCCUCAGCUUCUAUGCUGCAGACUCCUAGUUGCUUUCUUAGGCUUAGAAAUCUCGUUGUACCAAGAGACUUUGUAAAGAUAUCAGCAAUUUGAUUUUCAGAGCUGCAAUAAAUCAGCUCGAUCUCUCGAGCUUGUUCCAGUUCUCUUAUCACAUGCAACUUUAUGUUGAAGUGUUUUGUUCUGCCAUGAAAGACUGGAUUUUUGGCAAUUACAAUAGCUGACUUGUUGUCACAAUAAAUCUUGGUUGCUUCAUUAAAUUCAAAUCAGUGAGGAUUUUUCUUAGCCACAUAGCUUGAUUAACAACAUUAGCAGCUACUACAUACUCUGCUUCUGCUGUUGAUUGAGCCACCAUUGUUUGUUUUCUUGAACUCCAACAAAUCAUAGUUGAGCCAAGUGUAAAAGCAUAACUAGAAGUGCUCUUCAUAUCAUCUUUUGAACCAGCCCAAUCGCUGUCAGUGUAGUCAAUCAAUUUCAACUCUUCAGCCUUUUUAAAAUGUAUUCCAUGGUUCAAGGUACCUUUGAUGUACCUUAGCACCCUUUUUCCUGCUUUGUAAUGCUGCUGAUUACAACAAUGCAUGAAUAUUGACAGCAUGCUUACUGCAAAUAGAAUAUCAGGUCUCGUUGCUGUCAAAUAUAACAAGCAGCCAACAAGGCUUCUAUAAUCUGUUCCACUGAUAGGUUCAUGAUCUUCUUGACUCGAUAGUUUCAUGCCAACAACCAUAGGUGUGCUGGUUGGCUUGUAGUUCUCCAUUGAAAAUUUGGCUAGAACUUUCAAAGCAAAUGAUUUCUGUCCCAAGAAGAUUCCUUCAUCUGCUUGAUUAACUUCCAUUUCUAGGAAGUAAGUCAUCAAUCCCAGGUCUGACAUUUCAAACAUCUCCUUCAUUUUUGUUUUAAAAUCAGCCAACCUGAGUUUGUCUCCUCCAGUCACUAAAAGAUCAUCAACAAAAAGUGACACAAUGAGCUGUGUUUCAGCUCGAUUCUUUUUAACAUAGAGAGUUGGCUCACUGGCACUUCUUUCAAAUCCCAAACUGACCAGGUAUGAGUCAAUUCAAGCAUACCAGGCUCUAGGAGCCUGUUUCAGGCCAUACAGGGCUUUUCUUAGCCUAUACACCAAAUGUUCUUUACCAGGCAUUGUAAAUCCUGGAGGUUGCUCGAUGUACAUCUCCUCUUCCAACAAUCCAUUGAGAAAUGUAGACUUUACAUCCAUUUGGUGAAUUGUCCACUGAUUCUGAGCAGCUAGAGCAACCAGUAAUUUGAUUGUAUUGAGUCUGGCUAUUGGAGCAAAUGUUUCCAUGUAGUCCAGACCAUAUCUUUGACUGAAGCCCUUCAUAACUAGUCUAGCUUUCAACUUAUUUAAGCUUCCAUUUGCAUUGUGCUUUACUCGAUAGACCUAUUUUACACCAAUGAUCUUUCUGUUAGCAGGUUUCUCAACCAACUCCCAUGUUUGGUUCUUCUCGAUCAUGUUGAUUUCAUCAACUAUAGUGUGCUUCCAGCCUUCAUCUGCCUCAGCCUCUUCAAAACAGGUAGGUUCUGCUAUAGCAACCUGUGCCCUCUCAUAAAUCUCAUCUAGGGACCUUGUUCCUCUCACAGGUACAUCAUCAAUGUCUAUUUCAGGACUAAGCUGCUCGAAUUUAGCUUGAUUAGGCACCAGGUCUUCUGUAAGAGCUUCUAGCUCAUUCUUUUCCCAAUUCCAGCAAGCCUUUUCAUCAAAGAUGACAUCUCUGCUUACCUGGAUUUUGCUUGUGAGGGGAUCUAGGAUCCUGUAGCCCUUCUUAGUUGAGCUAUAGCCCACUAGGAUACUUGGUUGAGCCCUUUUUGCAAGCUUGUCCCUUUUUACUGCUGGUAUUUGUGCAUAGCACAGGCAACCAAACACCUUCAGAUGUGCCAAGGAAGGCUUGAAUCCAAACCAAGCCUCGAAAAGUGUCUUGGAAGCAAGAGCUUUGGUAGGAAGCCUAUUCUGGAGGUAGACAGCAGUGUUUACUGCCUCAGCCCACAUGCUCUUGGGCAGUUUCUUCUCAAACAGGAGGCAUCUGGCCAUAUCCAUCAGGCUUCUGUUCUUCCUUUCAGAUACCAUAUUCUGCUGAGGUGUGUACACAUUUGUUAGCUAGUGUUUGAUCCCAGCAUCACUACAAAUGGCUUGAAACUGAGCUGAAGUGUACUCAGUGCCAUUGUCUGACCUUAUCGAUUUUAGCUUGCAGCUUGUUUCUGUCUCAACAGUAAUUUUAAACUUUACAAACACUUGAGCUACCUCAGACUUGUGUUUCAAGAAGAAAAUCCAGCAAAACCUUGUAAAAUCAUCAAUGAAGAGGAUGAAAUACCUGUUUUUGCUAAGUGAUUCAGUCCUCAUCGGGCCACAUACAUCAGAGUGCACCAGCUGUAAUCUUUCAGUGGCUCUCCAUGCUGAAUUUGUAAGAAAUGGCAAUCUUGCCUGUUUUCCUAUCUGGCAAACUUCACACACAUCAUUAUGCUCCACUGAGUUGGUGAAGUUCUCAGCUAGACCCUCUUUGGCUAUUUGAGCUAUUGAUUUGAAAUUGGCAUGUCCAAGCCUUUGAUGCCAGAGCUUGGAAUUAUCAACAGAGGCUGUGUAUGCUGACUUUGAGUAAUUUGGCCAAUGAACCUCAAAGCAUUUGUCAGUCAUUGUGACUGUCAUAAGGCUUGAUCCACUUGGAUCAGCAAUGUGGCACUGUUUGUCCUUGAACACAACUGAAUAGCCUUUCUCGAGCAAUUGAGCUAUGUUGAGAAGGUUUCUGUCAAUCUCAGGCACCAACAGGACAUUUGAGAUGAUUUUGUUGCUUGUAGGAGUGCAUAACAUCACCUCUCCUCUUCCUUCAACCUUUAUAAACUGACCAUUUCCAACCUUGACCUUGGUUUUGCAACUUCUGUCCAAGGUUUUGAACAAGGAGGCAUCUGGUGACAUGUGGUUGGUGCAGCCACUAUCCAACAACCAGCCUUUAGAGCAUUUCUUCUCAGCAGCUAAGCAAGACACAGCAAAUACCUGCUCUUUUUGGUCACUACUGUCUUCAACCACUCGAGCUUUUUGCUUUUGACUGUUGAAAUUGGUUCUGCCUUGGUUUGGUUUUGUUUUUACACACCUUUUCGACAUGGCCCUUCUUUUUGCAGUGUUGGCAUACUACAUCUGGUCUAAACCAGCAUCUGUCUUCUGGAUGUCCUGGUCUCUUGCAAUAUCUGUAAGGCUGGUCACUGCUCCUUGCAGCAUCAGGCUUAGGCCUAUUUUUCCAGGGCCUUUUACCUCUAUGAGCAUUGAUGCUCGAGGCUUCUCUGGCCUUGGCUUGAAAUGCACCUUCCUGGUGAUCUUCAGCUCUGCUAGCUCUUCUUUGUUCCUGAGCAUAGAAAGUGUUAAUCAGCUCAGUCAAAGAGAUGCUAGCAAGGUCUCUUGAGUCCUCUAAGGAGGAUAUCUUUGCCUCAUGUCUCUCAGGCAAAGUGGAGAGGACUUUCUUCACGAUUCUUGCCUUAUCAAAGUGCUCACCUAGGAGCCUUAUGCUGUUAACCACUGCCAUGAUUCUAUCUACAUACUGCUUCAUUGUUUCUUCUUCCCUCAUCUUCAGAUUCUCAAAGUCUCUCCUCAAAUUCAACAGUUGUUGUUGCCUUGUCCUUUCUAUGCCUUGAAACUCCUCCUAAAGCUUAUUCCAGGCCUGUUUUGGAGUCUCAUAGGCCAUAAUUCUGGUGAAUAUGACAUCUGACACACAAUUCUGGAUGUAGGACAUAGCUUUGUGCCUUUUGGUCCUCUCAUCAGCGUGUUGUCUGAUCUGAGCUACUGUGAGAUUGGCCCUCAGUGGUGCUGGCUCAACAUCUGUGUUAACAACUUCCCACAGAUCAAAGGCCUGCAAGUAAGUUUUCAUCUUAACCAGCCAUACGUGGAAGCCUUCUCCAUUGAAGACUGGUGGGGCUGCUGGUGAAAAUCCUGAAGAAGCCAUCCUGGUUUUUUGGUUUGAUAUAUCAGGUCCACUAAGACAAGGGCUCUAGAUACCAAUUCUUGGUGUUAAGAGGUAACAACAAGCUUGUAAUGCCCAAUUUUAGCCCGAGCCCAAAACCAAAACAUACAGUCCAUUACAAAUAAAAUUAAUUACAGGCCCAAAAUACCCAACAGGCCCUAAUUAAGAAACCCUAGCCCAAAAACAUAAUUUUUUUUCAGUACCAAACCCUAGCCCCCCUAAGCAUGCGCCGCAUCCCCUUGUCGGCCACUCCCUCGCGCCGCCCCCACCAGUCCCGUCGCCAGGCCGCUCGUGCCGCCCAAGGUGCCCCUCUGUCACACUCCUUUUGACCGAAAUAGCCACCUCCAGACAGAAAAGCAAAAAGAAGAACAAUUAAAAUGAUAGCAAGGGUAGAAGAACAGUGAUAGCAGUUAAUCUUGGCUAUAAGAGCCACGGAAAUAUCAAUGUAAAGGGAGGACAGAUUUUUAGAGUUUGAAAAAAGGGUUCCGAAAAUUUAAAAACAGAAGAAAAUAAAAAAAUAGAUCUAUUCGAAAAGCAAUUUGCAGUUUCUAUUUUGUUCUCUUUUCUUUUGUUUUGAUACAAAAAACAACUUCAAGAACUCAAAAAAGAAAAAAACAGAUCUAAAAUUUAACAUUCCAAGGUGAUUUUAUUUUCGUUUAUAUUUCUUUUCCUUUUGUAUUUAUUUAUUUUUUUCUUUUUCAAAAGAACAGUUUAUAUUUGUGCAAAAAUCAUACAUAGAAAAAUAUAUAAAAAAAUUACCUUUUAAAUUUUUCAGGCCACCGUGCACGGUGGCCGGCGCGGCGGUGGAGCGGCGGCGCUGUUCACCGGAUUCUGGGCAGUGCCCAGAAUGGGGGAGAGGAAUUGAGAGCAUUUUCAGAAAUUUUUUGGAGAAAAGAAGGGAAGAAUGAAAAUUAAAAAUAAAAACCAACUUAAAUAGGCCUCCAAAACGACGUCGUUUUGGGCAGGCCUCUCAGGCACCAAAACGGCGUCGUUUUGGCUUUGACCCGAUUCGCCCGACCCGCUCCAGGCUAGGAUCCGCGUGUUUUUAGCGGAAGGGCUAAUUGCACUUUCAGCCCUUCCGCUUUAAAAUAAUUUUACAAUCAAGGCCCCUUUUGUUUUUUUAAAUUCGCACAGUAGUUUAUUAUUUUUACAAUUUGGUCCUAUGAUGCUGUGCGUUUUGGGAAAGAGGGAAAAAUUGCUCUCUUGAUCCCUUCUUGUUGUUUGCGCGUUCAGCUUUGUCCUUCCUCUUUUAUUUAUUUAUAGAUUUGGCCCCAAAUUUUGUUUUAAUAUCUAAUUUAGCCCUUCUUUGUUAUUUUGUUUGUUUUAUUAUUAAAUUAAUAAAUGAUAUGUUAUUAUUAUUGUUAUUUAUUAUUAGUUUUUAUUUUAUAUUUAUUUAUUUAUUCAUCAUCAUUAUAUAAAUUAGUUUUGCAUUACCUUUUAUAUAUUAUAUUAUAUUAUAUAUAUUAUAUAUAUUUUUUAGUUUUUUUAGUUUUUAUAUAUAUAUAUUUUUAUCUUACUGUAUCUUUAUUAUUUAUCAUUUACUUCAAGCUUUUCUAUGUUUUCUAAAUUAUUAUUAUUAUUAUUAUUAUUAUUAUUAUUAUUAUUAUUAUUAUUAUUAUUAUUAUGUUUAUACUCUUUUAAUUUUAAAUUCUUGUUAUAUAUUUACAUAUACAAACGCAUACUUUUUAUAAUAUAUAUGUACAUAUUUUAUUUUAUUUUAUUUUAUUUUGUGUGUAAAUAUAUACAUUUUCCCGAUGCAUAUACACAUACAUUUUAAAGUUAUUAUAAAUAUAUUUUAUAUUUCAUUUUUCAUACUUACACAUACCUAUAUCUAUUUCUACGUAUUUUAUUACACAUAGAUAUACGUAUACAUAUUUUUAAAUAUUUUUUAUAUUUUCAUAAUUCUAAAAUAUAUAUAUACAUGUAUUUAUAUAUUUUUAUUUCUUUUAUGGUUUCGUUAUUUCGCGCUGUGUUUAUUUUAUUUUAUUUAUUCAUGCCCACUUUCAUUCGAAUAGUGUAUUUGCUUAUUCUUUUGCAUGUUUAAUUCGUUUUUUAUUUAUUUAUCUUUUAUUUGUUGUUACUUGUAUUAUUCAUACUUACAUUAUCGAAUUUAUUAUUGUUUUGUUAUGAGCAUUAACAUCAUGUUUUAUUUCUACUAUUACACGUUAAAUUAUUUUUCAUUCAAUGUAUAAAUUAUGAUUUUUGAAUAAACAAAAUUUCGUGUUUAGAUUUGAGAAAGUCGUACCCUAACUUACUAGGUUUUGAUUUUCACAAUGAAUAUAAAUACGUGGAUCUUUUCAAACUCAAAUUUUCAACGAUCUCGGGAUUUAUAAAAGAUCGUAUCCUAACUUACUGGGUAUGAUCCCUUUUUUAAACCCGAGAUAAUUGAAUAGCUUUUAAAUAAUUUCUUCGGCAUUUAUUCUUGAAUCGGGAAUUUAAAGACAUUGUGUCCUAACUUACGGGAUAUAAUUCUUUUUCUUGAUUAUCGUGAAAAUGCCCUUCUCUCGAAAACUUUUAGCAUUUUAAUAAAAGAUCGUAUUUUUAAAUUUCUUCAAAGUUCUCAAUUUUCGACAUUAAGACAUUAAGUAAUCAACUAGGUACCAAUUUUGGGCGUUACGAGGGUGCUAAUCCUUCCUCGUACGUAACCGACUCCCGAACCCGUUUUCUAAAUUUCGUGGACCAAAAUCGUUGUUUUAAUAAAAUUAAACUGUUUAUUAAAAACAACCAGUUUUCGAGGCGAUCCAAUCACACCUCGUUAAAAAAUGAUUGGUGGCGACUCCCACAUUCGAUUUCAUUUUUUUAAAAACCCAAGUCGAAUCCGUUUUCACCCAAAAAAUGGUGUCAACAAAGCUGAUUUGAGCUUGCUUAUAUAGCAAGGCUCGAGGCUUGCAGAAGAAACAAUUGAAGAAAGAAACAGAAAAUGAAGCUUGCGAAUGGAAAACAGAAAAGAGAGAAAAAGUUUGAAUGAAAACAAGCUAAAAUUUUCAUUAAUUGUCAAAGAGGCAUAAUGCCAUUACAUAUAUGAGUUAACAAUCACAAAAUAAAUAAGUUACUACCUAAACUUAUACCUAACACCACUAAUUUACAUUGAAACUUGUUAAAUUUGCUUGAUUACAUAAACAAGUCACCUAAACUUGUCAUUCAGCACUUAAUUACAUCAAAAUGCAGCUACCAACUAAGUUUGAUUCAAACUAGAAUACAAAACAUUCAUUAAAGAAACUAAAUGAAACAAAAUAACUUCAGUUUGCUACUUGAAGCAUGUUCUCUGCAUGGCCACCUUGGCUGCUGCAUGAGGGCUGACUUCAACAGAUACCAAUUAUGAUAAGAAAUUAAAUUAAGGAUUUUCUACUGCAAGCCUACCACGAAAACAUAAUUUUUAUUAGGAUCAAAGGCGUAGCCCAUCAUGGCAGCAUUAUUGAGUCCAUUUUCAGAGGAAAAUCCUGAAACAUGUUACAGGCAAAUAUUAAGAAAAACAAUGCACAAGCAUAAGUACAAAAACAUAGCAUGCAAGAAAUCAAUACUUGAAAGGAUUAAAAUCACUGCUAACCUAAGACAUUGAAUCUAGCACCACUAGGAAACAUCCAAAAUGAUCCUUGUCUUUCAAUAUUGAGAUACAUACGUCCAAGUCUGCCAUGUUGCGCCAAACGGGAAUUCAUCAACCUCUUGAGAGCCUAAAGGAUGAAAAGUUCAAGUCCGAGUUAUAUAUAUACAGACACACACACAGAUAGACAUGAAGAAAGUGGGUUAAUGGUGUAUUAUUUAAGAAAAGAAAAAGUUGAAAUCUUGAACCUCUAAAUAUUGGGUAACAGCUAGUGUUAAAAGUGCAUAAAGUUCUGCUAUUAUCUACAAGAAACAAUGGAGGAAUCACAUACAUUGUUUAUAUUCACUUUUCUUGCUACACAAGCAAGCUGAGUCCAUAAACAAAGGCAUACCUUUUUCUCCGUUUUUAAAUGGUUUUCCUGUUUUUGGCUGCUUUUUAUAUUAAGAGAAAGAGAGUGUGUGAGACCUCGUCAUCCUCAAGGAGUAAGUGGUCAAGCACGAAGAUGAUGGGAAGACCACGAGUCUAUGGUGGUCGAUCCAUGAGUUGAUUAUGAGUAGCUUCAUGUUAUGAAGUAAAAAUGUUAGCUAAGUUAGUUGAGUGCUGUGUUUUAGGGCUGAGGGCUUAAUGAAACUAUAAGUUUUGAUGUUGAAUGAAAACGGUGUGUAUUGACGGUUUGUUACAACUGCUCGAGGAACAGCCCUAUAACAGACUUUGUAACUGCCAAUUCGCAGCCAUAAUAGAAACCGGCAUGGGAAAUGAGCAGAUAUGCAAUUUUGUGAAGGAAAUCAAUUCUUUCUUCUUCCUCGAUUCUCCUUCUCUUCUCUUUUUCUUUCUUCCUCUAUUCUGUUGAAAUUAUGCAUCACUUCACCAGCAUUCAUCAUUGUGGACGUAUCUGAUCUUCAGUCUCUGGUUUACUGCCCAUGUAAAGUUAUGGAAAGGAAUGCAAAUUUAAAAGGAUUUCUUGCUAUAGUCUAUGCAAUUUCAUGUGUGCGUGAAAGGAGAUGAAGAUUAAUAGAGUAAUACUGAUAUACCAACAAUUCAUUAAUUGAAGUACUAUCAAUAUUAUCAACAAGUAACAGAAUUAAGUGAGUAUACUAAUAUAGUCUAGAAUUAAGUGAGUAUACUAAUAUAGUCUAGAUUUAUAAUGAAAUACAAAAAUAUUUCAAAAAUUGUACUCAAAGAAAGUNNNNNNNNNNNNNNNNNNNNNNNNNNNNNNNNNNNNNNNNNNNNNNNNNNNNNNNNNNNNNNNNNNNNNNNNNNNNNNNNNNNNNNNNNNNNNNNNNNNNNNNNNNNNNNNNNNNNNNNNNNNNNNNNNNNNNNNNNNNNNNNNNNNUUUAAUAUCCAUGAUUGUAAUUAAUCUAGACUUAUUCUACCAAUUAAUCAAUUUAGUCCACUUAUCUUUCGACCUGGUGGAUCUAAAUGGGACAAUUGAAUUAGUUCUGGAUAAAAUCUCCUUUCAAUCUCAUCUACCUAAAUUUCCAUCUAGAGUCAUCAAUUUGAUCCAUUUAAUCAAUUCAAAACCUUAAAUUAAAUUAACUAUUCCCACAUCAAUUAAGCAACUUUCUUAAAAAUUUAGUUAAGACCCAUUCUAAUGAUAUCAGACCCACUUAAUCCGUAAACCAUCAAUAAAGUUAAUGAUAAGAACGAAUAGAGUUGAGGGAUGCUCAAUAAUUUGUGGAGAUCCUCAUAAUGAAAGCGUGAAAUAAAAAAUAAAUAUAUUUUUAUUAAAAUGAGUCAGAAGCGAGUGAAAUGAAAAAGAAAGGAAAACGGAUAAGGCUCCGAUUAAAGUUAUUUAAACAAGUAAAUAUAUUUUUAUCCAAAUUUAUAAUUUAUUAUAUUUAUCUGUAAUUCUCACUUUAAAAAAGCAUUCCAAAUAUGCUUCCUCACCUUAUCAUUUUUGCUUUUUUUCAAGCGCCCUUAUAAUUUUUGUUAAUCUUUCUUUUCCCUUAAUUAAAGCUUGAUGACUUAUAUUAUAUAUAUCCGUUUUAAAGAAAAUGUCACUGAACUAUUGCUUUCGUUUUGUUUUGGUUAUUAGAUUAUUAAUUUUUUUGAUUUAGUUACUAAAUUUUUCGAAAUCAAUUAUUUUGAUCACUUUCCCAUUAAUUGUCAUUAGAUAAGUGAGGAAAAUUACUUUCUCAUUAAUUGUCAUUAGAUAAGUGAGGAAAAGCUAACACAGAUUUGUUUUAUUGUUCAAAUUAAUCCUUAUAUAUUAAAUAAAAAUUCAAUUUAAUCCUUGAAUUAAACUAAAAAUUCAAAUAAACUCAGAAUACCACAACUUUUUAUUAUAUAUAUUUCUUUUUCCAAAUAAUAAAUUUAAAUUUAUUAUGAUUAUCACAACUUUUAUUUCAAUGUAACUACUAUCAUAUAUUUUCACUUUUUAAAUUGAUUAUAAAUAUUAUUUAAAUAUUAAUUUAAUAAUAUGAUAAAAAAAUAAAGGAUAUUUUUAUCUGUUCAAUUUUUUUUAAACUUAUGCUUUUAUAGAUAUUAUAGAUUAUAGGAAUAGGGUCUAAUGGCCAAAAAGAAAAAUUAUGUACCGUCUAUGUGAAGGCAUUAUAAAAGGGAUCAUCAGAGUAUAAUGAUUAGUAUUAGGUAAAGUGAAAGUGAAUUGAUUAAGUCCUCCAAUCAUUUUACUUUUAAAUAAAAAAAAAUUAAACAAAAAAACUCUACUUUUGUUCUACCUACCUUUCUGUUUGUGUUCUCAUUCUAUUAAUUAAGUACUGCUUCUUGCAAUUGUUUUCCCAGCAAGAUUGCGGCACACACAUCUUGAAAUCCAAAUUCAAGAUUUUAAAGAAUUUUCUUAGCUCGAUCACUUUUAUGGCUUUUUCUGCUGUUGCAUCUGCAGUGCAACAAUUGGCAACCUGCUAACUGAGGAAGCCAUAUACCGAUGGGGCGUGGAGGAGCAAGUUGAUCGUCUGCAAACAGAGCUCAAUUGGAUGCAAAGAUACUUAAUGGACGCAGAGACAAAACAAUCAAAGGAUGAAAGGAUUCGUCUUUGGGUUGCUGAAAUCAAGGAUUAGGAAGGUACGAAACACCUCCACUUUAAUUUCCUUCUGCUUAAAUUAGAUGUUUUAAGUUAAUUUUUAGUUUUGAACAUGUUAAAUUGCAGGAUAAUGAGACGCCACUGACCUUUAUUCGGAUGUAGCAUUGCAUUUACAUGUUUGGUUUGCAGUGACCAUUCAUAAAUUUUGCUGUGACUACCCUGUUGCUAGUUCUUUUUUCCUACUUCGAUCUGCUCAAGUCUUUUAUGAUAUAAUUAAAUGUAAAAAUAUGUAAUAGUAGAAGCCAAGACAGGAUAUUGUAAAAUUGAUCAUUUUGUUUUUAAUGACCAUUUGUUCUCAUCUUUUUUCAUUUUUCAUAAAUGUGUCCAAUAUAUAUUUAUUGAAUAUAUUUAUGCUGGACACAUAUCCUAAUGUGGUACACUAAAUCUGAGUCAUAUUGUGCAAUAUUGGUGAAUUACUAGUUGGUGCAGAAUCAUAUACAUCGAUGUUCUGUCAUUUGUUGAAGAUAAAAGAUCCAAAGCCUCCAUUAUUAAAAUGAAAAAAAGAAAGAAAAUUGGAUAUUCGUUUCUUUCUAGAUUUAGAAUAUAGAUAUUUGUAAUAUUGAGAUGAUAAACGAUUAAUAAAUGGAUUAAAUAGGAUCUAAUGUCUAAUUACAAUCCAAGAGGAACAGGCUCCUGCCGCCAUAAAAAAUUCCAUAAUUACUUAUUUUAUUGUAUUUUUUGAUAACACAUUGAUUAUUGCAUGGAACAUUGGUUAAGAACAAAAUAGGAACCAAGAACAAACAAUGUCUUCAAACAUAUUAAAAUGACAGCUCCAAAUCCUUACUUCAAUUAUUGUUGUGUUGGGUUUAUUUUGGAUUAGCUAAUGGAAAUAAUUGAAGCUCAGCAUGACAGCAAAUCAGGUUCUUUUUCUUCUUCCUCUGUCCUUUCUCUCUAUUUAGAUACAUGUUCAUUUCGUGUUUAUUGCAGAUGUUGUCUGAAUGAUUUCUAUGAAUAUUAAUGGCAGCAAAGCUGAAACCGUAAAAUAAUGAUCCAGUAAAGUUGGUGUUUCAGUUUCUAUUUAAAUCGCAAACAACUUCCCUAUUAAUCAAACAAAUGCUCUAAACUUGAAUGUCAUGAACAUGUCAAAAAUCAUACCUUGUAGUCAUGUAUGAAUGUGAGGAAAAGUGAAGAACAGAGAACCACAGGCCACACCUGUCAUCAAUGUGUUAUAACAACAUCCUUAACAUCAUAAGCAAGCUCUUUAAUAACAAUGAAAAUUAACCAUAAAACAAAAUUGAAGGGAACUUUAAAAUAUUUUUUAAUAAUAACUUGGGAAGUACUUUAAAUGUGAAAAUUGGGUGUUUACCCAAAUGAUGAAUGGAUGUCUCCUAGGUAAAACUCCCACAAUCUAAUGGUUACAAAUUAUAUAAGUGUACAAUCGGAUUGUGGUUUCUAGAAUGUUUUAUAAACUAAUAAAUUAAAAAUUAUUUGGUGAAUUAAUAAAAUAUAAGUGUUCAAUAUAAUUGUAUAAUUAAUAUUUUUGGGUUCAUCUAUUUUUACUAUGUGCUUUUUUAAAAAAAAAAAAUUUUGGUUUAACUAUUUUUACAUUUCUUUUAUUUACUGAAAUUCAUUUUUAAUUUUCACUAUUCUUUUAAAUUUAUUUUUAAUUUUUUAUACAAAUAAUAGAAUCGAUAUGAAAAUGAAAGAGUUAAGGAAAAACAUAGUUAAACAUUGUGCAAGGCUUCCAUUAGCCAUUAUUGUAUUGGGAGGAAUUUUAAUGUGUUAACUUUAAGUUUCGAUAAUUUAUCUCUCUAUCUAAGACCAUGUUUCCUCUAUUUAAGUAUACAUAUUUUUUUAAAAUAUAUUUUCAAUUUUUUGGAAAAUAUAUAUUUUUAAUAUUUUUAGUAUUUUUGAUGUAUUUUUUUAAAAUUUAUAUGAACCGGACCGCGUUUUAACAUUUUUAUCCGGACCGAACUUAGAAAAAAUUUUAGAUCCAUUUUUUAUGCCAAACCCAAGUCUAACAAAUGGACCUAAAAUUUUAAUUAGGCACGGCUAUGAACACCUCUAAUUAUUUGUAGCUAAAAUUCCCUGUAAGUUCAAUACAAUUUACUAAAAAUUUCAGUUGAUUUACUUGUUAUAUUCAUCACCUAAAUAAAUCAACAAAUAAAUGACGAAUUAUCCCUCUAAGCUGCAAUAUGAACCUUCCAUCAAUUGUCUCUAGGUUCAGUCAUUUUAUUACAUAAGUAUUCUUAAUUAAAAAAAUAAGGAAAAAAUGUAAUUUAUUCUAAUUAAUUAUUGAGCAAAAAUAAAUAAAAGAAAUUGUUAGAGCCUCAGUUUGUUCUUCAAUUAAAAUAAAAUAAAAUAAAUAAGGAUAAUAAUUUUUAAAAAUAAAUAAAAAUUAAAACAUGAGAAAAUCAAUAUACAUUUUUUAUACUCACUAGUUUUGUUGUCAAGAACUGAAAAGCACUUCAAUUCCUUGUAUCCGAAUACAUAUCCUUUUAAAAUUUAUCGAAAAAUAUUUAUUUUAAUGUAACUUAAAAGAUAACAGCCUGGAUUUGAUUAUCAAAUUAAAAAUUCAAAUAAGUUUACAAUAUUAUCAAUUUUUUUUAAUUUAUAUAUAUAUUUCCAAAUAAUAAAUUUAAAUUUAUUAUGAUAAUUACACCUUUUAUUUUAGUAUAACUAUCAUGAUAUAUUUUUUUCCAAUUUUUUUAAAAAUUUAUUAUAAUUAUUUGUAAAUAUUAAUUUAAUAAUACCAAGAAAAAUAAAAGAUAUUUUUGUAAAUAUAUAUUUUUUUAAAUUGGUACUUUUAUAUAUAUAAUAUGGAUAGAUUAUAAAUAUACAUUGUACAUGGUGGCAAAAAAAAAUGUUUAUAGGGUAUAUGUAAAGGCCAUAUACUAUGGAUCAUCAAAGUAUAAAGAUUAGUAUUAGAUAAAGUGGAAGUGAGUUGAUUAAGUCCUCCACUCAUUUACCUACGUACUCUUCCUUUUUUCUAAUUAAAUAAGACUGAUUAGAUACUUUUAAAUAAAAUACUUUCCUAGUCUUCCUUUUUUUUUUCCCACUUUUAUUUAGUGUUAGAUAAAGUGGAAGUGAGUUGAUUAAGUCCUCCACUCAUUUUCCUACUCUUCCUUUUUUCUAAUUAAAUAAGACUGACUCUAUACUUUUAAAUAAAAUACUUUCCUAGUCUUCCUUUUUUUUUUCCCCACUUUUAUUUAGUGUUAGAUAAAGUGGAACUGAGUUGAUUAAGUCCUCCACUCAUUUUCCUACUCUUCCUUUUUUUUCUAAUUAAGUAAGACUGACUAUAUACUUUUAAAUAAAAUACUUUCCUAGCCUUCCUUUUUUCCAAUUUUAUAAUCAGCAGAUCAAGAAAGAAGUAUUGAUUUUGGGAAAUUUGUUAGUUUAGUGUUCCUUUUCACUAUUUUUAAAAAGUAUUGUAAAAAUGGUAAUUUUGAGGAGUACUUUUAGAAAGUUUAGUUUAAGAUUUAAGUAUUUAGUAUUACUGUAAAAAAAUACUUUUGAUAAAUAAAAUAUCUAUUUUAGAUAUUAUGUUAUAAAGUAAAAAAUAUGUAUUUAAAUAAUGUUUAAAUUAGUUAAUAUUAUGAUAUCUUAGUAAGAAUAUAAAAAUAAUUUAUUAUAAUUUGUUGUUAAUAUUUUAAUAUAUGAAAUAUAAAUUUUAAUUUUUUUAAGUAACUAAUAUUAAUUAUUCAUAAAAUCUAAUUCGAAUAUAUAAACAAUAUUUUAAAUAAUAAAAUAUGAUCAAUAAAAAUUUAAAUAUAUAUCACAACUUUUUUAUUUUAUAUAUAUUUCUUUUUUCAAAUAAUAAAUUUAAAUUUAUUAUGAUUAUCACAACUUUUGUGUCAAUAUAACUACAAUCAUAUAUUUUCACUUUUUAAAUUGAUUAUAAUUGUUUUUUAAAUGUUAAUUUAGUAAUAUGGUAAAAAAUAAAUGAUAUUUUUAUCAGUUUAAAUUUUUUUUAAAAAUUAUGUACUGUCUAUGUGAAGGCAUUGUACAAGGGAUCAUCAAAGUAUAAAGAUUUGUAUUAGGUAAAGUGAAAGUGAGUUGAUCAAGUCCUCCACUCAUUUUACUUUUAAAUUAAAAAAAUUUUAAACAAAUAAACUCUACUUUUGUUCUACCUACCUUUCUGUUUGUAUUCUCAUUCCAUUAAAUAAGAACUGCUUCCUUCAAUUGUUUUCCCAGCAAGAUUUCUGCACUCGCAUCUUGAAAUCCAAAUUCAAGAUUUUAAAGAAAUUUCUGAGCUCACUCACUAUUAUGGCUUGGUCUGCUGUGACAUCUGCAGUGAUAAAUAUUGGCAAGCUGCUAACUGAGGAAGCCAUAUACCUAUGGGGUGUGGAGGAGGAAGUUGAUCGUCUGCAAACAGAGCUCAAAUGGAUGCAAAGAUACUUAACGGACGCAGAGACAAAACAAUCAAAGGAAGAGAUGAUUCGUCUUUGGGUUGCUGAAAUCAGAGAGCUUGCUUAUGAUGCUGAGGAUGUUGUCGAGGAAUUUGCUCUCAAGAUUGGAUCCGAAAACAAAGGAUGUCUUCCGAGUUGUAUUAAAACAUCAGCCUGCUGUUUGAAAGAGGGAUGGGCACUCCACAAAACCAGGUCAAAAAUCGAGAAAAUCAUAGAAAGAAUCAACGACUUGGUCCGACGACUACAGGCCUACGGAGUAAAGGAAUUAAAGGACAGAGAAGAAGAAUCAAGUUCUUCAACUGAAAGACGAGAAUCAAGGCGGCCUUAUCCACAUAUUAUGGAUGAUAAUAUUGUUGGACUAGUUGAUGAUACCGAGGGAUUGGUCAAAGUUCUUACGAACGAAAGUCGAUGCCAGGUUGUUACAAUAUGGGGCAUGGGUGGUCUGGGAAAGACCACUCUCGCCAAGAAAAUAUAUCACGAUCCUCAGGUUAGAAAUUAUUUCGAGCACUUCGCUUUUGUAUACGUUUCUCAACCAUGCCAGAAAAGAAAAGUUUGGGAAGACAUUCUAUCUGGUUUCAAAACUUUAAAGGACGAGGAUAGGAAGAAAAGAGAUGAAGACUUAGCAGAGAAGUUGUGUAACAUUUUGGAGGUUAAAGAGUGUCUGGUGAUACUUGAUGAUGUUUGGACCAGAGAAGCUUGGGAUAGUCUAAAACCUGCCUUUCCAGUUGCAACGGGCCGUCAUCGCAAAAGCAAGAUAUUGCUCACCUCUAGAAACAGGGGGAUAGUUUCGGAUGCUGAGAUAAGAGGUAAAAUUUUCUUAAUUAGGUAAAAUUGAAUACUCUUAUUCCUUUUAUGGAAAAUAACUAUGUAUAUUAUUUCAGAGUUGAAGUGCCUAAACGAUCAACAAAGUUGGGAAUUGCUUCAAAAGAUUGUAUCUCCUAAAACAGGUAAAUAUACGUAUAGCAAAAUUCUUGUUAUAUGCUAAAUUUAUUUUUCAUUUUUAAAUUUUUUUGACAGUAAUUGAAAUUAAAAAUAUAUAAAAUCUAUUUUAUUUCAAAAUUUCAAAACCUUAAUAUCAAAUAAAUAAAAGAAAUCAAGCCUUUGUAGUUUAUCAAUUAAUGGUACACGCACCUAAAUAUAAUUAAUAGGUAAAUUCAUUAUCUUUAUUAUUAUAAUUUUUUAAUAACUUUGCUAUUAUUUACGGGGAAUAAAUUACAUUAGGAUUAUCUUAAAAGAUAUAGUUUUUAGGCACCAAUAAAAUAGUGUCACAUCGUUAAAUUUUUAAGAUAACAAAGAAUUAUUAUACACUCAUUUAUAUUUAAUAUUUUCUCCAAUUUAAUUUAACUUUAAUAAAAUUAUUUAAAAUAAUUAAUUUUUUAAAUUAUAAACAAACAUCUUUUCUUCUUUUACAAAUUUUAAUCAUUUUGUUUUUUCAUAAGUUAAUGUUUUUUAUUUUUGUGCAACCAAUUUUUUUUUAAAAAAACAGUAAUUUUUGUGCAAUGUUUUUCAUAUCAUUAACACAUAAUUUUGAUAAUUAUUUUAUCCUGAAGCCAAAACUCCGAACCUUGAACUCGAACCCUGAACCUAAAUCUUGAACCCUGAAUCUUGCAGUUAAAGGUUUGGUUUCUAGAUUUAAAGUUCAAAAUUCGAGGUUCAAGUUUAAAGUUUAAGGGUUCAGGGUUAUGGGUUACGAAUUUAGGAUUCAUGGUUUAAGGGUUUGGGGUAGCGAGUUUGGGGUUUUAUAUGUUUGUUUAGUUUCUUAAGCACUUUCAUGCUAUUCUUUUAUAUGUUUUUUUUUCUUAAGAAAUACAAAUUGAUUUUAUAAUUUAAAUUCAGGACUCAAACAUCACUUAAUUAAAAUAAUAAUUAAUCAAUUCUCGUUUUUUUUUUUGCCACAAAAACAUUCAUUCCAGAAAGAAUAACCAGACAUAGGAAGUCUAAAACACUAAACCAGAUAAACUAACAUGAAAAAAGCACAGUAUUCACUAAGCUUAUCCUGGAUCCUUGCAUCAGAAAGAUGGAGGCGCAGGUAAACCAUUCUUAUUAAGAGUAAAGCCAAGAAAGAUGGUAGUUGAUUCGAACAACCAACACAUCUCUUUACGACCCUAUUUAGCAAACCAAUCCGCUAACUUAUUGGCUUCUCGUCUAAUAACAUUGACUUUCAAAGAAGAAAGUUGCAUGACCAGCUUAUCAAAAACCUGAAGGACUAGCCUUAAUCUCCAUCUUCGAUCUUGACUCUUCUCAAUAUUCGAAAAAAUAGUCUGGGAGUCAGUCUUGAUUGUCACAUUGCUCCACUUGUUCUUCAUAGCUAAUUCAAUCCAUCCAACCAUAGCUUUAGCCUCGACAACCUGACAUGAAUCCACUUAAUCCUUUUACCAAUCCCAUCCAGCAUCUUCCCACUUAAAUUUCUGCCUAUUACUCUAAUACCAGCACAAGCUAUCAAGGUGUCAAAUGCCCCAUCACAAUUUAACUUUAACCCAACCUUCUGGUGGUUUCUCCCAAAUAUCAGCACAAGUUUUUGACUUCCUAGUUCGAUCAGAGUUAUUGUUUGAACAGAGGAUCCAUUGAGCAGAUAAGAAUUCAUUCAUGGAGCAAUUAAUCCUUCGAAUAAUUCUCUCCAAACCAAGUUUCACACCUCCAAUUGUAACCUCACACCUAGCUUUGCAGAUGUGCUAGCAAGUGAAAACAAUUCUAACUUUGAAAUCCUCCCUCAUACAAGGCAUUUGUAACAACUUUGAGAACCAUCUGUCAAAUGAUUGAGUUUGAUCAUUUAUCCCUUGAAGACCAAAACAAGCCUCAUACUAUAUUCCCCUAAGAAUAAUAUGUUCAAAGUCUCAUCUUUUCCACGGAUUAAAAUGAGAUGGAAUAGCAUUAUGACACAAUUUCCAUAAGAAAAUUUUAACUUUGUUCGGUACCUGUAAGCUCCAAAUAGCUUUCCAAGUGCUCCUAUCAAUUAAGUGAGAGCUGGAAGGUUGUAAAGAAGACUCAUUUCCAUAGUGCUUUCUCAACUCCUUGUACCCUGACUUCAUCGGAUAUUGACCAACAGCUGUAAACGGCCAUACCAAUUUAUCUUGUUCAUUUGUUUCGUGAAGGGGAACUUUUAAUUUCGCAAUUUCAAUAUCUUCUAACCACAUUGAGAUACUGGGUAAGUCCCAAUUUAGUUGUUCUAAACAAAUGAUCUCAGCAACUCGUGUUGGUGAGGAUCUGUCAAUAUUUCCAGGAUGCUUUAAUUCCCUAUCUUUAACUCCCAGCAAUCAUCUAUCUUCCCAAAUGCAGAUGCUUUCGCCAUUUUGCACUUGCCAAAUCAAAGUCUUCUUUUAAAAACUCUUUCCCUUCAAGAAUGCUACUCCACACCCAUGAUGACCUAGCUCCUUUUUUAGCUUCAAGGAAAUUAGAAUUCGGGAAAUAAAGUCCUUUUAAAAUCCUACCCCAAAGAGCAUCAGGAUCCUGGACUAACUGUCAAGAUUGUUUUGCAAGUAGAGCAAGGCCUCCAAGCUUUUCAAUGAAUACGUCUCUCAUUUUCCUUCUGCUGAAUUCAUUUCCACGCAUAAGUUUUUAGGAAGUUCGAAAAGAUAUCGUAUACAUUGAAGCGCAUGCUACUGCUUUAAUAAGAACCUCCCUUCCCCUUCAAGAUAACGUUUGCUGCUUCCAGCCCUAAAGUUUGGUAAGGACCUUUUUUUUUUUUGGUGAAAGUGAGGACCUUAUCUUUGAUAUGCCUCAAAGUUAAUGUUUUCGAAAGCUCCCACAAAGAAGGGACACCCAAGUAUCAACCUUUCGUUGACCCUUCGGGAGUAUUCACAGUAAAAACAUUGCUUGAUUUAUCGUACUUGACCCUUCGUCCAGAAGCUGCACAAUAUUCUUGAAAGUUCAUCAUUCUACUACAAUUUAACGAAUUAGCUUCCAAAAAGAAUAGAGAUCGUUCGCGAAUAAAAAAUGUGACACUAUUCGAUAAUGACUACCAAGGCUAAUCCCAGAAAUAAAACUAGACUCGACUCUAAGGAUAAGUUUGGAUUGGCAAUUGGGUGCGAUGCGGUGCGUUUAGCCUACUUUUUGUCUCAAGCUACAGUGUUGCUACAGUAUUUAAUCUCACCGCCACCUCUGUUUUUACACUAACCUCAGGUAAACGCACCGCCCAUCCUAACUCACCUUAAGGCUAAUUAUAUGAGAGAGGAUGUUCACAACAAAAAGGAAGAGGUAAGGUGAUAGAGGGUCACCUUCUAGAUGGAUAGAUUUUUCUAUUAGAUUUACCAUUAAUAAGCAAAGUGUAAGAAACAUUCCUCACACACUCCAUUAUCCAAUCAAUCCAUGUUAAAGCAAAUCUCAUUUUUCUUAAAAUAGUUUUCAGAAGUCCCCACUCUACUCUUUCAUGUCGAGCUUCCAAGCAACCUCAUAUUUCUUACCCCUCUUCUUCAAUUUCAAAUGAUGAAAACCUCUUGAGCAAUUAAGAUGUUAUCAUGUAUUUGUCUACCUACCACAAAAGCACUUUGAUUAUUCAUAAUCACUACCCUAGAACUCCUUUCAAUAUCUUCACCAUGAUCUUCGAUAUGAUUUUAUAGGCAAAAUUAUAAAAAUUAAUUAGUCUAAAUUAUGUAAUUAAUUGAAAACAUUUAGUCUUCAGAAUUAAAAUUAUCUUAAUCUCAUUUAAACCCAUCGAAAAUUUCCCUUCCCUAAAAAAAAAACUCUUAAUAGCUUCCAAAACAUCCUUUUUAAUAAUUUCUCAAUAAUUAUGAUAGAAAAUUCCGCUAAAAUCAUUCGCAAAAUAAGAGAUUAAUUUAAUUGUGUUGUAUGCUUAACUUGUACGAUAUAAGUAAAAUCUUAUAAUUUUAUCUCCAAAUUCUCUCAACACAAUUUUCUGACCCUUAUUUAUAAUCUCAUUUGUAUCUAACAGGAUCCAAUUUAAAGUUAAAUAGUCUUUUUUAUAUAAUGAAUUAUAUUUUUAUUCGAAUCUCCUCUUAAAUUAAUUAGAGUCUUACUUAGUAUUGACUGUUCCGUAAAGUAUUCAAAGUUUUCAAAUAGAUUCCUAUUUUUACAGUUCUUUCACGUACUUAAAUUAAUUCCUAAUUUUCCUUACUUUUUUAAAAAUAUUUAUUCCUAAUCUUUUAUACAGGAAAUAUAAUCGAUGUGAAAAUGAUAGAGUUGGGAAAGAACAUGGUUAAACAUUGUGCAGGGUUGCCAUUAGCCAUUGUUGUAUUGGGAGGAAUUUUGGCUACAAAGAAAAAUUCGUUAAUCGAAUGGCAAAAGAUAUCUGACAAUGUAAAAUCAUACUUGAAGAGAGGCAAAAAUCAAGGACCAGAGGAUGUGUUAGCAUUAAGUUAUGAUGAUUUGCCUCCCUAUCUAAGACCAUGUUUCCUCUAUCUAAGCCAUUUUCCGGAGGAUUAUAUGAUAGAUGUGGAUAGAUUGAUUCAAUUAUGGGUUGCUGAAGGUAUUGUGUCAUCAAAGGAAGAAGAAAGAGACGGCGGGGAAAUUGCGGAAGAUGUGGCGGAAUCUUAUUUAAUGGAGCUUGUGGAAAGGUGCAUGAUUCAAGUACGAGAAAGAAAUGUGGCAGCCUCAGAGAUCAGAGCGACCUUAAAGGUCAAAACGAUUCAGAUGCAUGAUCUGAUAAGAGAUCUUUGCUUAUCAAAGGCAAAACAAGAGAAAUUUGUCUUCAUUGUUGAUGGAUCGAAUGCAUCUUCAUUAUCUAUGAUUCGGAAGGUUCGUAGGGUUUCUGUGCAUGAGUCUUUUUUCAUACAAUGCAUUAAAAGUCCAAAUAUUCGGUCACUUUUGUUCUUCAAUCAGUUCUUUCCGGAGGAGGCAUUAGAAAAAUCUUUUCCCUUGGAAGUGUUGAACUACGUUAAAAAACAUUGUGACGAUUGUUGUAAUCCACUAUUUUGGAUUCUUCUGAUUUCGGUAGGUUCUACAAGACGUCUUAAAAUUCGGGAAUUUUGGAGAUACAUGUUCAACAACUUCAAAUUGCUGAGAGUCCUAAACUAUGACAAAGGAAGAACGUCAUAUGGUUUUUGGACCGGGUGGGAUUUACCCAGUGAUAUAGGGAAUCUCAUCCAUUUAAGAUUCUUGAGUCUAAAGGAUCUUGUGUUCUUAUGGCCAAAGUUGCAAUCAUCUCUAGGCAACUUAAGGUGCUUGCAAACCUUGGAUUUAAGAGUUAAUUUUCCCGAAAUUCAUGUACCUAAUGUGAUAUGGAGGAUGGAGCAACUAAGACAUUUAUAUCUCCCUUUCGACUGUGAAAGCAGUACUAAGUUGAACUUGGGUACUUUGAGAAAACUCCUAACACUUGUGAACUUCAACACCAAGAAUUGUUAUCUGAAGGAUCUUAUCAACAUGACAAAUCUUAGAGAGUUGGAGAUAAAUUUGCCCUUCAAUAUUGAAAAUUUCAAUGAGUCAGGCGAGAAUCCACCCAUAAUCGGUGGUAAAUAUCUUCAUUCCCUGUUUAUUAUUGCCAUUGGGGAAUCCGGCUCAGAAAUAGAUCCAAGACAUUUGGCCCACCUCCUUUCAAAUUGUACAAGUAUUUGCCAGUUGAGUAUAGCAGCAGAGAUAAGUAAGUUACCAGAGUAUCAAUACUUCUCUUCACAUCUCGCUUACAUACGGUUGAGUUGGUGCAAGUUUGAGGAAGAUCCAAUGCCAACACUAGAGAAGCUGCCUAACUUAAGGAUUCUUGAAUUCAAAUAUACUUUAGAAGGAAAGGAAAUGUUUUGCUCUGCUCAGGGUUUUCCUAAACUUGAGUCUCUAAUCCUUGAACAGCUCGGCAAAUUGGAGGAGUGGAAGGUGGAUGAAGGAGCCAUGCCUUCUCUUCAGCGAUUGGAGAUUAGGGAAUGCGGAAACUUGAAGAUGCUUCCAGAGGGAUUGAGGUUUAUUACAACCCUCAAAGAACUGAAGAUUGAAUCAAUGCCAAAGGCAUUCAAAGAUAGAUUGGAGGAAGGAGGAGAAGAUUUCUACGAAGUCAAACAUGUUCCUUCUAUCAUAUUCCAAAACAUCUUGCGCUAAGAAAUUGAAUGAUAAUUGAGAGGUAAUUUCAUAACCUCUAGUUUAGGAAAUGAUUCCUACUUUCUUUGCUGCUUAUAUAUCUUUCGUUUUUGACAAUGUCUCACCUUCUCACUCCAUUUGUCAUCACACCAAUGAAUAAUUACAUUUAUUAAAAGUCAAAGGAAGUCAGACAUUGAUCUUUUUAGUUUUGCUUUUCAGGUAAAGACGCCAUUUUUUCACCUGCACUGCUAUUCACGGGAUCAAAUCUAGAUUUAAAACUCCUAUUAUAAGUGGCGUGUGAAAGUGUGUUAUAUGGUGAGAUUUGGAAUUAUCUUCUCUCUUGUAUAUAUCUAUGGUUGAUGACAUCAGACUGGUUGACUGUUUGUUGUUUUCUUCAAAUUACAAUAAAACGGUUGCAAGAUAAGGUAUGGGAAGAAUGGGAGGUGUCUGGUUUAGCAAGGUACCAAACCCCUCCGCCAUUUCAAUUUCCUUCAAUCUAAGUUAAUUACACAUUCAUUUUUGUCUUUUAAAACGUAAAAUUGCAGAUAAGGAGACGUCAUUGACCUUUGUUCCGACAUAGCUUUGGUUUGCGGUGACUGUUCCUAUAUUUAUUUGUUGGCUUUGCUUUCUCUUUCCUUUUUCUUUUCCCUACUUAAGGCUGCUUUAGUCUUUCUCUUUUAUUUUUUUAUAUGUACUUAAUGUAAUAUUAGAAGCCAAGGCAGGACCAUGCUUUUCUAUUGUAAAAUUCUUCACUUCGUUGUCUAUGUUCAUUUCUACUCUUCAGUUUACUUUAUAUAAUUGUUUGAUAUAUAUUUGAAUAUGGAGAAUAUAAUCUUUUUAAUAUAUACAUAUUUUAGAAAAAAUUGAAUAUAAGUAUGUUGGACACAUUUCCUAUUUCAACAUAUUUCCUUAUUUUAUGCAAGUCGAUUGGUAUUCAACAUAAUCUUUUCUGUCAUCCUUAACUCAAUAAUCUUUGUUACGAUAUCAUAUCAAGUUUAAUGGUUGCACUUCAUCCCCACACUUCCAAAGCAAAAAGUAGGAAAAAUUAAAUCUUACCAAGUAAUAACACUUCCCAAAUACAUUGUCUUACAAAAAAAAAAAAAAAAGAAAGAAGAUACAAUUUGAAAAUUUUUUUUAAUCAACAUUUGAUGGUUUAGCAAGCUAUGCUUUAUAAUAGGCAAAGGAUUCCAAGAGAAUCAAAGAUUCCAAAAUCGAUAUUUGGAUUCAAGAUUUUGUAUCCCCUUUCUUUGCUUCUUAUAUCUACCAACAAUAUCUUGAUGAUAAUAAACUUAAAAAAAAUAUUCAAGGGAAUUGAAGAUCCUAAAUCUAACUUAAACGGUUGAAAAUUUCACAUCCACUUAAUUAAUUCAAAUGAUAUUUAUUCAAUAAGCUUAAAGUAAAAACUGCAAGAAUCUUCAUUUGUCUUUUAUUCGAAAUGUAAUUGGGAUUCAAUGAAAAUAUUGAACAUAUAAUGUGUGCACAUGGAAAUGUCCAAAUCUUUAAAUAUAGGGUCCACAUGCGAGAAAUCUCUUAACACCCAACGUUAAAGAUUUAUAAAAUUCAAUAUGAGCCUAUUAUUUUCGUUAUAAAACUCAAUAUCUUAUUUGGAUUAGGAUACGAGCGAAUAACAGCUAACUAUUUGUAGUUCAAGGUGUGAUAAAAUCUCAGUAGCUAAGAUAUGAAUGUUGCAAAAUACCAUACAAAAUCACAGCCACAUUUGUUAGUAUGACUAUUUUGGGUAAUCAAAGGAAAAAAAUGUUAGCUGUUGAGCAAACAAGGUGAACAAAUUAGAUAUUCCAAUUACGUUCAAGCACUUGACAAAUCCUUUCUGCAAUGGCUUCAGCACGCAUCCUUAAUUUAAUUUCUUAUCAUACGUUUUUGCAUGUAUCAUAAGAAAUUAAAUUAAGGAUUUUCUACUGCAAACCUACCAUGAAAACAUAAUUUUUAUUAGGAUCAAAGGCAUAGCCCAUCAUGGCAGCAUUAUUGAGUCCAUUUUCAGAGGAAAAUCCUGAAACAUGUUACAGGCAAAUAUUAAGAAAAACAACGCACAAGCAUAAGUAUAAAAAACCUAGCAUGUAAGAAAUCAAUACUUGAAAGGAUUAAAAUCACUGCUAACCUAAGACAUUGAAUCUAGCACCACUAGGAAACAUCCGAAAUGAUACUUGUCUUUCAAUGUUGAGAUACAUAGGUCCAAGUCUGCCAUGUUGCGCCAAACGGGAAUUCAUCAACCUCUUGAGAACCUAAAGGAUGAAAAGUUCCAGUCCAAGUUAUAUAUAUACAGACACACACACAGAUAGACAUGAAGAAAGUGGGUUACUGGUGUAUUAUUUAAGUAAAGAAAAAGUUGAAAUCUUGAACCUCUAAAUAUUGGGUAACAGCUAGUGUUAAAAGUGCAUAAAGUUCUGCUAUUAUCUACAAGAAACAAAGGAGGAAUCACAUACAUUGUUUAUAUUCACUUUUCUUGCUACACAAGCAAGCUGACUCCAUAUACAAAAGCAUAUCUUUUUCUCCGUUUUUAAAUGGUUUUUUUGUUUUUCGGCUGCUUUUUAUAUUAAGAGACAGAGAUUGUGAGACCUCGUCAUCCUCAAGGAGUAAAUGGUCAAGCAUGGAGAUGAUGGGAAGACCAUGAGUCGAUGGUGGUCGAUCCAUGAGUUGAUUAUGAAUAGUUUCAUGUUAUGAAAUAAAAAUGUUAGCUAAAGUUAGUUGAACGCUGUGUUUUAGGGCCGAGGGUUUAAUGAAACUAUAAGUUUUGAUGUUGAAUGAAAACGGUGCGUAUUGAUGGUUUGCUACAACUGCUCGAGGAACAGCCCUAUAACAGACUUUGUAACUGCCAANNNNNNNNNNNNNNNNNNNNNNNNNNNNNNNNNNNNNNNNNNNNNNNNNNNNNNNNNNNNNNNNNNNNNNNNNNNNNNNNNNNNNNNNNNNNNNNNNNNNNNNNNNNNNNNNNNNNNNNNNNNNNNNNNNNNNNNNNNNNNNNNNNNNNNNNNNNNNNNNNNNNNNNNNNNNNNNNNNNNNNNNNNNNNNNNNNNNNNNNNNNNNNNNNNNNNNNNNNNNNNNNNNNNNNNNNNNNNNNNNNNNNNNNNNNNNNNNNNNNNNNNNNNNNNNNNNNNNNNNNNNNNNNNNNNNNNNNNNNNNNNNNNNNNNNNNNNNNNNNNNNNNNNNNNNNNNNNNNNNNNNNNNNNNNNNNNNNNNNNNNNNNNNNNNNNNNNNNNNNNNNNNNNNNNNNNNNNNNNNNNNNNNNNNNNNNNNNNNNNNNNNNNNNNNNNNNNNNNNNNNNNNNNNNNNNNNNNNNNNNNNNNNNNNNNNNNNNNNNNNNNNNNNNNNNNNNNNNNNNNNNNNNNNNNNNNNNNNNNNNNNNNNNNNNNNNNNNNNNNNNNNNNNNNNNNNNNNNNNNNNNNNNNNNNNNNNNNNNNNNNNNNNNNNNNNNNNNNNNNNNNNNNNNNNNNNNNNNNNNNNNNNNNNNNNNNNNNNNNNNNNNNNNNNNNNNNNNNNNNNNNNNNNNNNNNNNNNNNNNNNNNNNNNNNNNNNNNNNNNNNNNNNNNNNNNNNNNNNNNNNNNNNNNNNNNNNNNNNNNNNNNNNNNNNNNNNNNNNNNNNNNNNNNNNNNNNNNNNNNNNNNNNNNNNNNNNNNNNNNNNNNNNNNNNNNNNNNNNNNNNNNNNNNNNNNNNNNNNNNNNNNNNNNNNNNNNNNNNNNUUUCGGAACAAAACCAUGCCGUACCAUUUGUUUCAAAGCCCAAUCAACUUCCUUUACCAUCUUCCCCUUACAAAAACCAUGAAUCAACUUCUUGUAUGAAUCAAAACUAGGAUUAACCCUCUCGAAAGCCACAUUUGUUAGUAUGACUAUUUUGGGUAACCAAAGGAAAAAAAAAUGUUAGCUGUUGAGCAAACAAGGUGAACAAAUUAGAUAUUCCAAUUACGUUCAAGCACUUGACAAAUCCUUUCUGCAAUGGCUUCAGCACACAUCCUAGGACCUUCAUCAUCUGCAAAAACCGACCAUUUCUAACAACUAAGCUAACAUCACACAUGAUAAUAUAUGUAUAUAACAUAUAUAGAAGAUGAGUAUGUGGAUUAAAAGCUAUGUUAGUUUGACUCAAUACAUGACCAUGGGACAUGCACGAUUCUUCAAUAAUGAUACGAAAAUAAUUGGAAGAAAAAUUAAAUACAUCAAUAUCUAACAUUUACAUCUGAGUAUGUUUAAUGGUACUCUUUCUUUAGCCAAAUUUUGGCUUCUUUUAGUAGCUAUUCUGACCCAUUUUUCUUUGACCAAAAUGCCCUUGAACAUGUCUUUUUAUUGGGGUUUUAGUUGGACAAGGACUACCCCUGAUGUCAUUUUUGGUCCCCUCACGACAAUAUUGCAAUAACCAACACAGGGUAUCGUGAUAUCGUGGACUGUCUCAAAUGAGGGUCUUCUUUGGUAGCUGGGUAUCACAAUACCUAAGGGGGAUAUCAUGAUACCACUAUAGGUGGUCUUCAUUUCAAGCUUGUGGGAGGUAUCGCUAUGUCCAUGUUGUGAUGUCGUGAUACCCCUUUCCUUAUGUUUUUGCACAAUUUCGGGUCACCGUCAAGUUCCUACAACACUUAAUUGAUCGUUAGGGUCCAAAUGGCACAUUUAUCAAUUUGAGUCUCAAAAUGAGCACAAAACACAUUAAACAUUUAUUAAAUCAAAAAUAAAAAUCUACGCUAAACUACGGAAAAACACUAAUUUGCUUGAAAACAAGCUCUUUAAGUAUAAUGAGGAACCCUAAAUUGACAUAUCAAAUUAUUGUAACUUAGUUGUCUUUUUGAUUCGAACCCACAACCUGAGUUGUUGAGUUGAUCACCCAAUGUCACUAGGCGAAGAGUUUGGGUUCUAUGUACUAACUUGAAGUUGAGGCAUAUUAUAAAGAAGAUUUCAAUUUGACAUGUUUAAUUUUUUUAAUUUAACUCGAAUAAAUUUAUUUAACUCGACUUAAAUUUUAUUUUACUCAACUUGAUUAAAAAAAUUUCAAAUCAAGUUAAGAUGAUAAAAUAGGAUUCAUGAACUUGAUGUAGUCGAAAUUUUUUUUACUAGAUUCGAUCAAACGCUCAACCUGUUAGGUGAGAUGAUGUUUAGGGAUUUGAUUUGUAAAAUCAUUUUUUUCUCAAUCAUUCCUCAUAAUAUAGAAAAUAAUAAGUUAAGUUAUGCCAUUAGUCCUUGUACUUUACAAAAAGUUGUGGAUAUAAUCUAUAUACUUUAGUUUGGUCAUUUUUAAUAAAUGUACUUUUCAAAUUUGAAAAUUUCAAUCCUCACCAAACGAUAACUGUUAAAUUCAUUAAGUUAAGCUUUGUUAUUUUCAAAAUAUUACAUGACAAACAAAUUAUUAUAUGUGUAAUGCCAUGUCAACUUGUUAUUUUGACAUAUUACUCACCAAAAUUUCACUUAAUGGAUUAACGACUUUCAUUCAUGUGGAGACUAAAAUUUCAAAAUUCAAAAGUAGAGGGACUUAAAAUGAUCUAAUUGGAGAAAAUAGACUAAAUCUAUAACUAUACUCAUAGUAUAAGACUAGUAAUUGAAUUUAUCCAAAUAAAUUUAAUUGCUACAGUUUGGGUUAAAACUAAAAUUUCAAAAUUAAAAAAAAAUACAGAAAUUGAAGUUGACAAAUUCAAAAAAAUAUACAUAUUAAAAUUGAUCAAAUUAAAAGUAAACUGACUAACCUUAAUUUUUCUGAUAAUCUUUCUUUUCCCUUAAUUAAAUGACCAUGAUGUAUACUAUAUAUCUUAGUAUAUAAAUAUUUUAAAAAUAAAUAAAUAUAUGUAUGUUGGACACAUAUUCAAGUUUGAUAUUCGUCUUAAAUAUAUGUAUGUUGGACACGUAAUCUUUUUCAUUGUUUAAUAUCCUAAUCCUUAAUUAAUUUAAUAAUAUUUGUUACGAUAGGGUCUAAUGGCUGCAAUUUAUCUUGACACUUUCGAAGCAAAAAAUAAAAAAUAAAAAAAUCAAAUUUCACCGAUUAAUUACAUGCCAACACAUAUAACCCACGAUAUGUUUAUCUCAAAGAUUUAAAUAAGAUAAACUAAAUCACAAAGAAAACAAACGAGUAAACAUAAUCUAGAAAUUCCAAAUUUACAUUAUCUAACAGAAAUUCAAUAAGAAAUAAAAGGUUGCAUUUCAUUCUUUAGGGAUUUGCUCUUAUAUCUUCCAACAAUAGCUUGAUGAUAAUAAGCUGAAAAAGAAAAGGAGUCCAAGGGAAUUGAAGAUUCUUAAUUCAGCUAGCUUAAUUGAUUGAAUACUUCAAAUACACUUAAUUAAUACCAAUGAUAUUUAUCAAUAAAUCUAAAAUUUGCAUCCUACUUUGUAAAAACUGCCAGAAUGAAAUCAAAUUAUCUGAUUUCAAUUCUCUUCAAAUUUUAGUUUACAACUUCUAUUUUUGGGUUUCCAUUUGUUUCAACUUUUAAAGCAAGCAUUGAUUCAAGAAAUAUUUAUUUCAUUUGACUUAUUUGCUUUUCUAAUUUUAUGUUAUUCAGAUUCGAUGAAAAUAUUGAACAUAAUAUGUGUGCAAGUCAAGAUGUCCGAGUCUUACAAUGUAAGGUUGAAACGGGAGAAAUAUCCUAAAAGCUGAUGCUAAAAGAUUUAUAAAAUUCAGUAUAAUCAUUUUGUUUUCAUUAUAAAACUCAAUGUUAAAAUGUCUAUGAUUCGAGAUUAUGAUACAAGAGAAAAAUAGCUAACUAUUUUAAGUUCAAGGUGUGAGAAAAUCUCAAUAGCUAAGAUAUGAAUGUUGUAAAAUACCACUCAAUCACACAGAAAUAUAUACACACAGAAAUACCACUCAAUCACAGCCACAUUUGUUAGUAUGACUACUUUGGAUGAAAAGUUCUAUUCCAAGUUAUAUAUACACACAGAAAUACACAUGAAGUGGAUUAAUGGUGUAUUAUUUAAGUAAAGAAAAAGGGUUCUAACUAGAAGAAAGAGUUGAAAUCUUGAACCUCUAACUAUUGGGUAACCGCUGGUGUUAAAAAGUACAUAAAGGUCCGCGCUUAUCUACAAAAAAACAAUGGAGGAAUCACGUUCAUUGUUUAUAUUCAUUUUUUUUGCUCCACAAGCAAUCCAAAACCAUAAACAAAGGAAUACUUUUUUUCGCCUUUUUAAAUGGUUUUCUUGUUUCUUUUUCGCUUUUUAAAUUCUUCAUUCAAUUCAAGUUCAAGAAACCAUACUAAAUAUAUAUAUUUAUAUUUAUAUUCACUUUUCUUGCUACACAAGCAAGCCAAAAUCAUAAACAAAGGCACGCUUUUUUUUUCCCUUUUUUUAAUGAUUUUCUUGAUUCUUUGUUGUUUUUAAAAUUCUUCAUUCAAUUCAAGUUCAAUAAACCAUAUUAAAUAUAUAUAUUUAUAUUCACUUUUUUUUGCUACACAAGCAAGCUGAAACCAUAAACAAAGGCAUACAUUUUUCUCCUUUUUUAAAUGGCUUUCUUGUUUCUUUGUUGUUGUUUUUAAUUCUUUGCUCAAUUCAAGUUCAAGAAUCCAUACUAAAUAUAUGUGUUUAUAUUCACUUUUCUUGCUACAUAAGUAAGCUGAAACCAUAAACAAAGGCAUACUUGUUUUCCUUUCUUACCGUUGCUACCUUUUAGAUUCUUUAUUCAAUUCAAGUUCAAGAAAUCAUACUAUAUAUAUAUAUUCACUUUUCUUGCUACACAAGUCAACCGAAACCAUAAACAAAGGCAUAACUUUUUCGCUUUUUUUUAAAAUGAAUUUUUCUUUGCUGCUUUUUAAAAUUUUUAUUCAAUUUAAAUUCAAAAAACCCUACUAAAUAUAUAUAUAUAUAUAUAUAUAUAUAUAUAUAUUAAGAGAGAGACCUCAUCAUCCUCAAGCUUGAUGGGAAGGCCACAAGUCGGUGGUCGUCAAAUCAUGAGUUGAUUAUGAGUAGUUUCAUGUUAUGGAAAAAAGAUGUUAGUUAAAAUUAGUUAGUUGAGAGUUUAAUGAAACGAUACGUUUUGAUGUUUAAUGAAAACGGUGCGUAUUGAAAGUUUGAUACAACUAGUCGAGUAACAAGCCUUUAACAAACUUUGUAACUACCAAUUCUGAAGCCUUACAGGAACUGCCAACUUUUGAUUUUGUUUGUAAUCCUCGCUUUAAAAAAAUAUUCCAAAUAUGCUUCCUCACCUUAUCAUUUUUGUUAUUUUUCAAGUGCCCUUACCAUUCUAUAUUUUCAAUGGUUAAAUUGUAAAAAUGGUUACCUAAUUAUUGCUUUCGUUCUAUUUUAAUCACUAAAUCGAUUUAGUUAUUAAAAUUUUCGAAAUUAAAUAUUUUAAUCACUCUCAGUUAUCUUUAGAUGAGUGAUAGGAAGUUAAUGUGAGCUGUUUUUAUUGGUCUAAUAACAAAUUUAAUCAUCUAAUGUUUACACAUUCUAUUAAUUUAAUUUUAAAUAUAAAAUGUUCAACAGAUUUAACCCUAAAUAUUUACAAAAUCUAUUGUUAUAGUUCGAAUCCUAAAAAUUUCAAUAAGUUUAGUCCUCAAAAUUUGUAAAUUUAAUUUUAAUUCCAAAAAUUUUAGAAAAAGGAAAGAUGUAUUUUAUGUUAUAUAAAAGAAAAUCUAGCUCCAUCCAACAUUUUAAAUUCUUUUCUUUUUUCUUCACAUUUUCAUGGCAACGAAAAAACCAACUCAUGGAUGAAUUAAGCAAAUUAAUUAAAAUCAAAUAAAUCGAACAAGGAUUUUAAUUAAAAAGAAAUUCUUCACAUGCAUCAAGGAGGGACUUCCUCUGGUGGUAUCAAGGGGAUUGAUAGAAACAGCUCAGGCUCGAACAAGAACUUCAUUGGGCUUAAGAUCAGGAACAGACACAUCGGACCAAAGCUGCAACACCUCAGGUCCUCCGAACCGAGGCAGCAAUACCGCACUGUAACUGUUGACAUAGCACCGAAUUGAACCCACUUUCAACGAUAACUCCAUAAAGGGUUUAGGUUUUAAGCUUUGAAGUUCCCUUUUUUCUACUCAAAUUUACUGAAUUUCAGCUCCUUCCUUUUGUUAAAUGAAGGAAAAGCAGAGGAGAGACACGGAAGUGUUUUAAUCCACAUAGAAAAAAGUGAUUGUGUGACUUGUGAGUGGGGGCCUAUGGGGCGUGGAAGAAGAAGAUGAACAUUGCAUAAUCAAUUUUUAAUUGCUUAUUACAUUCAUAAUUUAAUAAAUAAAAAUUUCUAACCUUAUCUAUUAAAUCAAGUUAGAAUGUUCAACUUAAUUUUUGUUUGUUAUAAGUAUCACAUAUUAUAAAAAUUAAUUAUAUUUUAAUAAUUAUAUAAUAUUGAUUGAGUUAUUAUUUUUAAUUAUAUCAUCUGAUACCAUCUUGAGGACUAAAUUUAGAAUUAGAACUAAAUUGACAAAUUUCUGAAAUUUUGAGAUUAAAUUUAUUUUUAUUUUUAAGAAUUUGAACUAAAAUGAGAAAUUUUGUAAAUAUUGAGGAUUAAAUUUGUUGGAAAUUUUAUAUUUAGAAUCAAAUGGAUAGAAUGUCUAAACAUUAGGGGCCUAAAUUUGUUAUUAGACCAAUAAAAACAAGUUUAUACCAAUUUCCUGUAGCUCAUUAAUUGCAACUAACGAGGAAAUGAUUAAAAUAUUUAAUUUCUAAAAAUUUAAUGACUAAAUAAAAAAAUUAAUAUUUAAGUGAUCAAAAUAGAAUGAAAUCAAUAAUUUGAUGACCAUUUUUGUACUGUACCCUAUCUUAAUCCAUCUCACAACCAAAUUUCUCCGUCUUUGCCUAAUUUCUCGUCAUUGUCAAAUUUUAAUAGAAUUAACAUUUUUAUUUAAAAAAUAUCUUUAAUCAUUUAAUAUAUUUUUAAUAACUAAAUGUUAAUUCCAUUAAGAGUCAGUUUAUUUACAUGUAAAAAGUUAUAUAAUAUGAGUCUAUUGAACCGAUUCAAUCAUAAAUUUUAUUAUUAUUGGUUUAUAUAAUGGUUUGAUUUUGAAAAUAUUUGGUUUAACAUUUAGUCAUCCCUUUGAUCAAUUUUAAAUUUUAGAAAUAAUUUUGUUUUUUGUUUACAUUUAAAUGUACAGUUUCUAAUGCAUAUGUGUUACAUUUGAUUUCAAGCCAUUAAUCCUUAAUUACUUUUUAAAAUAAUAGUUCUCUUAGUUUUUAAAUAAUGUAUAAAUUUAUAAUUAUAUAAGAAAGUAAACUAUAAUAUUAAUUUUUAAAAAAUUAAGUAAAACAGAAGGCAAUAAUUUUUAUAAUAAUUAAUGAUAAAUAUGAAAAAUAUUCACAAUUAUAAAACAAACCGUUUAAGAGUAUAUAAACUACUUAUACAAAAUUUUUUUAAAUUAAAGAUGAAAAUAUAUAUAUAUAUAAAUAUACAUAAUUUAUAAGUGAAAAAUAUACAUAAUUUUAUUCAUAAAAAAUACAUAUGAUAAUAUACAGACAAGGUUAUAAAGUAAUUCAUAGGAAUAUAGCUUUCUUGUUUGUAUUCUCAUUCGGUUAUGAAUAUAGCUUUCUUGUUAGUAUUCUCAUUCUAUUUUGAACAUACCUUUCUUGCUUGUUUUCUCAUUCUAUUAUGAAUAUACCUUUCUUGUUCGUAUUCUCGUUCUAUUGAUGAUUAAUGUUGCUUUAUAAUUGUUUAUAAAUUUAAUAGAACUAUAUAUUACUACUAAAAGUAUAAAAGGGCAAUGAUUUGCAAUUGCUUUUAUAAUUAAGUACUGCUUCUUGCAAUUGUUUUCCCAGCAAGAUUGAAAUCCAAAUUCAAGAUUUUAAAGAAUUUUCUGAGCUCGAUCACUAUUAUGGCUUUGUCUGCUGUGACAUCUGCAGUGACAACAAUCGGCAACCUGCUAACUGAGGAAGCCAUAUUCCUAUGGGGCGUCGAGGAGCAAGUUGAUCGUCUGCAAACAGAGCUCAAAUGGAUGCAAAGAUACUUAAUGGACGCAGAGACAAAACAAUCAAAGGAUGAGAUGAUUCGUCUUUGGGUUGCUGACAUCAGAGAGCUUGCUUAUGAUGCCGAGGAUGUUGUCGAGGAAUUUGCUCUCAAGAUUGGACCCAAAAACAAAGGAGGUCUUGCGAGUUGUAUUAAAAGAUCAGCCUGCUGUUUGAAAGAGGGAUGGGUGCUCCAUGAAACCAGGUCAAAGAUUGAGAAAAUCAUAGAAAGAAUCAACGACUUGGUCCGACGACUACAGGCCUACGGCGUAAAGGAAUUAAAGGACAGAGGAGAAGAAUCAAGUUCUUCAACUGAAAGACGAGAAUCAAGGCGGCCUUAUCCACAUAUUAUGGAUGAUAAUAUUGUAGGACUAGUUGAUGAUACCGAGGGAUUGGUCAAAGUUCUGACGAACGAAAGUGGAUGCAAGGUUGUUACAAUAUGGGGCAUGGGUGGUCUGGGAAAGACCACACUCGCCAAGAAAAUAUAUCACCAUCCUCAGGUUAGAGAUUAUUUCGAAAACUUCGCUUUUGUAUAUGUUUCUCAACCAUGCCAGAAAAUAAAUGUUUGGGAAGACAUUCUAUCUGGUUUCAAAACUUCAAAUGUCAAGGAUAGGAAGAAAAGAGAUGAAGAAUUAGCAGAGGAUAGGAAGAAAAGAGAUCAAGAAUUAGCAGAGAAGUUGUGUAAAACUUUGGAGGAUAAAAAGUGUCUGGUGAUACUUGAUGAUGUUUGGACCAGUGAAGCUUGGGAUAGUCUAAAACCUGCCUUUCCAGUUGCAACGGGCCGUGAUAGCAAUAGCAAGAUAUUGCUCACCUCUAGAAACAAGGG